Molecule: long non-coding RNA, 58836 nt
Filed under: Setaria viridis
Lineage: Eukaryota; Viridiplantae; Streptophyta; Magnoliopsida; Poales; Poaceae
Description: long non-coding RNA (SVIR_LNC009798)
Source: RNAcentral
CAUGACAGCAGGGAAUUUCACGCAGCAAGCGAAAGUGUAUGCAUCACGCCUUGUAAGGGCCUUAUGGAGAGGGCCAUCAAUGUCCCAAAGAACAGGUGCGCAACAUGUUGCACAUAGACCCGCCCCCCAAAGACAUCUCCUGGUUAAACUGUACUUUUCCCCUAUCCCAUAAUCUAGUCCUUGACCAGCAUGGAUGUACUGUAGCUUCCGAAGCUUGAUGAUGGUUUUGGGCAGAGCCAUUAUGCAUGUACCUCUGACGUCUAGCACUUGGAGCUGUCUCAGGUUGCCCAAUAAAUCUGGCAGUAGAUCAAUACCACUACAUCCUCGUAGAGAGAGGUAUUUUAGGUGAACAAGCUUCCAAAUAUGAUCAAGCUGAUGGUAUUUUAGAUCAUCUAUAUCUUCUAAGUCGAGCACUCGUAGAAGCCUCAUCUUGUCAGAAAUGUAAAAUGGUCUGAAUUCUCCGAACACGGUUAGUGAUCGUAAUCGUGACAGAUCAACUAUUCUCUCUAACUCACUCUGAUCUCCUUUCCAGUUGCUGCUUAUUGCAAGAUGACGAAUUGCGCCAUGGGUACUCAAGCCACAUCCUUCCUCCAGUCUAAAAACAAGGUUUUCCUCCAUUGACUUUGAGAUGGCAAUGUCACGGAUGAGAUCAUGGACUUUGCAAGAGUCAAUUGAUUUUCUACUGCGAACUGAUUGUUGAAAUGGUAAAAUCAUGCUUCUGUAUUUGAGUUGUGUAAAGUAAUUUUCAGCCAUUUCAUUGGCAGACUUGCCACGCCUCUCGUGUGAGUACCCUUCUACUGUCCAUCGAUGCACCAAACGCCUCUGGCUAAUGAUGUGGUCCUCAGGAAAAAUGGAUAGAUAUAAGAAACAUGACUUGAGUUCAUAGGGUAAACCAUCAUAACUUGUCUGAAGGACGGUUCUUAUCAUCCCAAGCUCUGGAUUCAUCUCUAACUCAGCACUGAUAUUUUCAUUCAACUUUCUCCACUCAGCUCUAGUCUUUGGCCGGCUUGCCAAGUAGCCACCUAUUGUAACUAUUGCAAGGGGAAGUCCACCACACUUUUUUAGGAUUUUUUUUGUUUCUUCAAACAACUCGGGAUUCUUCUUAAUCAAAUCUGUUGCCUUCACAAGGGGAAGUCCACCAUACUUCUUCAAGUUUUGGUUUGCUUCUUCAACAAACUCUGGAUUCUGCUUAACAAAAUCUGCAGCCUUCCCAAAUACCUGAUUUUAAUGCAAUUUAAGUAUUUUAGUACUCCAAUCCAAAAAAUAAAUAAUUGUGCAUUACUUGUUGAUAUUUUGUUUGCUAGUGAUAGGCGCACAAUUGGUUGUGCACAGUGAUAAACACAUAUUGAAACAACAGUUUCCUGUGAAACUUGGUGAUAUAUAAAUUUUUUUUGUAAGUUUGGCUGAAACUUGUCCAUUAUUCUUUUAUAAAAUAUUGCUGAAAAUUCUCACAACUUCAUGAACUUUCUUGGGAGUUGCCUUUCAUAAAACUUGCCCAUUAUUCUUUUAAUUUUUUUCUGUAGUAGACCACCUUUGAUGAGAGCUGUUAGUUUCCUUUAAUCUAACAUAUAUGAAUAUGAUGAUCUGAGGUAUACGAGAUCAGUUUACAGUAGAGCUGAAGCUAUGUUUUAAGGAAAUUUCCGUAAUACUAGGGAACUACUAAGUUUCUCCUGAGUGUUUUAGAUGACUUCAACACCAGAAUUUGGUCCCGCAGUUUUAUUCCACAACUUAUGCUUUAGGGUUGAUAUGUAUAUUAGUUAAGAAAUUUAUAUGUUUUGAGGCCUCAAAAUGACAAUUGACUUUUGUUUAUACAAUAUAAUUAUAAUCAGUUUAAUGUUGAAUUAGGGCUAGUCUACCCAUAAGUUACAUUCAUGUUUUUUUAUAAUUUUCAAGUAAUAAGAGUGUAAUAAAAAUUCAACUAUUUUAUACCCGAGUAUAACACUUGAUCCUUUUGUUAGUAUGAAGCUAGAUCUAAGUUGAGUUAAUAUCUUGAAAUUGGAUAGCUGAAAAUCAGGUGGUGGAAACCCCUAAAAUGCUUGAGUGACAUAUAUGUAGUCCUAGUCCCUAAUAGUAAGGAUAAAAAAUAUACAGGGACAUUCACUCAAAGUGAAAUAUGACACACCACGUAGCAACAACUCAAAACAAAUGUAGGCUGCGUUACUUGAAAUACAUAUGACAUCAUGUUCUUUUCAUAGUAAUAUCUCAGAUUGUUAUUAUGCUAGAUUCAAAAUUUUUUAACCAUUGUAAAAAUCUCCAAGUUAUUAACAUGGCUACGAACACCCAUAGAUAUUUAAUACUUUUCUUUAGCAACGUAAUGAAGUAACGAAUACUACUACCCGAUCUGUGGACGUUCUCAGUGUUUUGGUGGGUGGGGGUAAUUAAUAGUUUUUAAAUAAUAUUAUCUUCAUAGUCAAUUGUAAAUAUAUUUUAUAAUGAAACAAAGAAAAAAUAAAAUAGAUAGUUGACAGUGCUAUUGGAAACUCCUAAUAUUGGAAAAGUCACCUAAUAUAAUAACAAAAGUACCUUCCCUUAAGAUCCUCAGAAAAAUGAGAACUAUUUUGUGGUUUCACAUGGAUAAAUGAGUAGGAAAGGGAAUUAAACAAAUAAGGACAAAAGAAAUUAAUGCAUUCUCUACUGUGUUCAACAAGAGGACAAAACAUAUUUUUUCUGUGUUCUGGUGGUGUUUGUGGUCUUGUGUUUUCUAAAAAUACUGGGAGAACGGGCAUCAUUGAUAUACUGGGAGGCAAAAAUAACGUUAUAUAUGAAUCAUGGAUGUAUAGGUCAUUAGAGGCAAUAAUUGGGAUGGCAACAGCCUGUUGAAUAUCAAUGUAUUGAUCAUCUUGGUUCAGUUGUUCAAAUGAUAAACAAAUGUCAAAAAAUUUGCAUGUUCCCAUAUGUUCUCCAUUGUCGACAGGACCAUCUUUAAUCUCUACGAAAUGCUAGACUGUUGUAGUAAUAAUGCUAUUUAAAAUCAAGCAAAAGUGACAAGGUUUCUAUUAUAUUACCUUUAAGCUGAAGAGGUUAAGUGCGUCCUCUUCUUUUAGAAUUUCAAGGUUGUGUACUAUUCCAUAUUUCCCGGAACAAUGCUUUGCAAUGCUUUCCUCCCUUGUAGUCACAAUUAUUUGGGUUGUUUUUUCCAUCCAAGAAAACCCUUGUAUUAUAUGGUCCCAUUCUUCAAUGGAUGACAGAUCGUCCAGAACAAUCAAGCAGCUCUUCUUUUCUAAAAGCCUUUUCAACUCUUUAGUCAAGCCUUGUAAUGAUUUGGUCUUGCUGGGUCUAUUGUUCAACAGUUCUUCCUUCUUAGAAGACUCUUCUUGUAAUCGCCUAACUAAACUUCUAAGUAGAUCUGCAGGAUUGAAAGGACGCAUGAUUGUGGCAAAUGCGUACUUCUCAAACAUAUCACUUAACUUUGGGCUUUGAUAAAUUCCGUUGGCUAGAGUGGUUUUUCCAAGACCACCCAUUCCCCAAACAGAGAUCACUUGACUCUGUUGGCUAGCCUUGUUUGAGAUUAAUCCUAUAAUUUUGGAUAUUUCUUUCUCUCGCCCAAUAAGUUGAGAUUCCUCCAAAGAACCAACACCUGUUUUGAUGCGAGUGAGGCUCUUUUUGUCCACCUUCGUUUCAUCAACAUCCUUACACUGAUCCUCUGUUAUCUCACUAGGGGCCACUGUUUGGGUAGUUGUAUUGGUAGUGGCCACAUCUGAGCUAGAUACUGGAUCCACGGAAACCAUUUCAUUUUGAGAACCCUGAACAAACAGAAAGUACAAUUAUUGGAAGCAACCUUUAAACUUCUUCUUGUUGUUAUUUUUUUAAGGUUAUGUGUACCUAUAACCAAAGUACUAUAUAACCUUUUAUGUAAUCAUGCAGUCAGUGACUAUUGGCCAUAAAUCAAUUUAACAAGGUAUGAAAAUUACAGAUAACAGAAAUCUGGCCUUGCUGCAGUGCUUAAGUUUUUAAUAUCUAUAAGCCGAAGUCCUAACAUAAAUGACUAAGGUCAUAGUUGAAGACACCAGGGGUAAAGGGUUAUGGUUUCAAAUGAUCCACCUCCCUCUGAAAUCCUAAAACCCACCCAGUUAUUACUCAGUAAUCUGUAGUUUACACGAUGCUCCCUAUUGAUAGAAAUAUCUUGGUGUCCUCCUAUCUAAAUAUUUAAGAGUUUAGUGGCUGUGUUUAUAUUAGCUAAUGAAGAAGCCGUAAAUUAUAACUUCUUCAUCUAAUAUUCAACGAUGAAUCCCAAGUUAUGUUUAUCCUCCCCUCAAGAGAUGCUGCGAUCAACAUAGACUACAGCAAUGAACAGAUUCAGUAUCUUUCCCCUUCAUAUAGAUUUUCAGUUAGCAAAUGUAGUGAUUUCACAAUUUUGCUAGUAUAUCCAUUCAUUAAAUCUGCUGGAAUAUCCUGUAGGAUUUAACAAGGUAUUAUUUUUCACAUUCACAGUGGGAUGUUUCUUUUCAAGCACAGAUGGGACAAUUGCUUUAGAGAUUUAUAUAAUUAAAAUAAAGCUUCAAAAUUUACAGUUAAGCAAGGAAGCUUAUAUUCCCUCCGUUUCAAAUUGUAAAUCGUUUUGGCUUUUUUAGAUACAUGAUUUUUGCUAUGCACCUAAAUGGUUAUGUCUAGAUACAUACCAAACUCUAUGUAUUUAUAAAAGUCAAAAUGACCUAUAACUUGAAACAGAGGAAUUGCUUAAAUGCUGUUGGAAAAUAAUAUAAUCCUUGAUACGCGGAUAACUGAACCAGAAUAACGAUGUCAUAGAAUGUUACUAAAAAUAAAAAUAUAAGUAUUACCUUGUCAUAGAAUGCAUAAAGCGUGUGAUCAGCAGACAAUUGCUUUAGCUCUGAGGCUUGGCUAUCUUGCCCUGCACAUAAGCUUGCAACUUCAACUUGUGUUGUUGACACUAUGAUUCGGCUUCCUUUGUUGUUGUUUGGCAGGCAUUUUUCGAUCUGGUCCCACUCUUCAAUGGUGCAGAGGUUAGUAAGCACAAUGAGAAACCUCUUCUCCUUCACAUAUCCAUCGAACUCCUGAACUAAAUCGUGCGCGGUCUUCUCUGUGUCUAAUAUAUCUUUAAAUCCUUCCACUGCAAGAAAUUGGUUCACUAAGCUCCGGACAAAGCCUUCUGAACUGAAUGGAUGAGUCACCCUCACCCAUGCUCGGCUGGGAAAUUUUCUUUGGGUGUCUGGAUUCUUGUAAGCCGCCCUGAUGAUGGAUGUUUGGCCGAUAUCACCACCUGUUCCCCACACCGCAAUGACUCUAAGGUCAUCAUCCUCCUUGUUGAUCAGUUGGACGAGAUCCACUCUCUGAUUCUCCUUUGCGGCACGCCUUGCAUCAUCAACACCGAAUAUGGCUGCAGCAAUGAUGCUUGAUUGCACAGUGGCAGCUGUGGCCUUGGAUCCAGAGCCCUUGAUGAGGCGGUACCGCACAUUCCUCUGGCUCACAUCCUCAACCUUGGCCCUGAGCUCCUUCAUCUUCUUGGCCACACGGCGCCGCUCGAGCAGCUUGCGAGGGAAUCGCCACCAAGAUGGCCUCUCCACACGGACAGCAAAAUCUUGGAGACUGUCCUCGACGUCAUAGGCCGUGUCACGGACCUGCUUCACCCAGGUCUUCACCACCUUGUUGUCGUCUCGCUCCUCGUGUGCCUCCAUCAUGAAAGACUGCAUCAUCUCAAGCUCAUCCGCGACGAACGCAUGAUCUCGCUGGAUACCGAGCUGCAAGGCUACCUCCUCUGCAAAGGCAGAUUUCGCGUAGCCGAGCGCUCCAUUCAGCACGGACUUGCCCACACUCAGUGCCGUCGCCUCCAUCGUUCUGCUGUGUUUCUCCGUGGAUCUAUACAAGGCUCAAAUUUAGAAGCUAAAACUCCGAGGCAGAAAAGGAUAGAUGGACAAGCGUUGAUGCCACCCAGCAAGAUGGCAAGUACCUGAAUUUUGGUGAACGCACAACCAAGGCAGGGGCAGAUCUAGAGGUAAAUAUGCUGCAAAAUACAUUCUUGCUGUAAAUACAAAUAAUACAAUCUGUGAGAAACUGAAGAUCUUUGAAAGUAUACCUUCUGUGGCCUAUGAGAUCUUGUGGCGUGGAAGUAAAUACAGCACUCUACUGCUUUGAUCCGGCGAGGCUCAAGCUCACGGGACGGCCCACACUCACACGCCCUGACGUGACCCGGCAAGCCAGCAAGGUUGAGGCCAAAUGGUGUGGAUGCGUGAUUCCAAGGCAGUAGGCACCGAGAUGGCGGCGCCGCCCUCGCCGACGAGCUACGCCGCCACUACUCUUGCUGUCUUGCACCCGGUCGGCCUGUCGCCGCUGACACUCUGUGGUGGCUUGGUAGUCACCAGUUACUCCUCAGAAGUACCGCAUGCUGGCUGGGAGCAGUGGACUCUAGAUACCUCUAAUGGACUUUGCAGGGUGCUUACAUGGUCAGUAGGGAUUUUGCACACGAGCACUUGUUGGGGUCGGUUAGCAGCCGCCUGCCAAUUUCCUCUACACAUUAGCAAAUAAUGUGUAGAUUUUUUCAAUCAGUUAGCAAUUCCCUCGGGAGUAGAUUUACACAUUAGCAAUUCCCUCGGGAGUAGAUUUUUUCAAUCAGUUAGAUCCAAAGCGAUUGGGUAGCAGAUGUCAGUAUGUCACAUGGGGCGGUACAUUGGCAACAAUAAGAUACUUAAAGAGCUAACUGGCCGACGAUGCUACCGAAGACUUAACUAAUUACUACUACCUUUUGGUGGACCAACCUAUACAGACACGUAACACAACUGUCCUAGAAAUAUAGUUGCGCACAAGAUAAAAUUGCAUAACCCAAGCACCUUCUACUAAGGUUGAAAUGUUCGUUAUACAAACCAUGGCCCAUGGCACACAAGCUGAGUAAACUCCAAAAGGGUUCUGCAUACAACCUAAAACAAUCUUACAACAAAGAAACAGACAAACCCAAUGGACAAUAUCCAUGUAUACUUCGUUUCAGAAAGGUGUUCCGUUUGCAUUAUGCUUUAGUGUAGCACCAGGCUAAAAUGCAGGACCGUCUUCUCGAGCUCAUCCCUGAUGAAUGCCUGGUCUCGCUGGACACCAAGCUGCAACCUGCAAGGCCACGUCCUCUGCCAAGGAAGAUUUCGCGUAGCCAAGUGCUCCAUUCAGCACAUACUUGCCCACACUCAGUGCUGUCGCGUCCGUAGCUCUGCAAGCUGUGUUUCUCCAUGUUUUUUUAGAUUAGGGAAAUAUCCGGUCUUACGCCAUCUGCCACAAGGCCUUACAUAAAGUUUCACCAAACAGAAGAUGACAGACACUAGGCCUCAAUCUUAUUCCUGGAACUCCACCCAAACUAGCUGAAGAUUUCCAUGACAGCAAUCUCCAAAUUGCGACAGCUUUCUUUCAAGGCGACCUUCUCUUCCUCGUUAGAUAGCAGCGACCAACAUAAUGUCCAGUAUAUCCCUCUAAGAUUACCUUGCAUAAGAGAGUUAGGCUUGGAUCUUUUGAGCACUACAUCAUUCCUACUUAACCAAAUAGUCCAAUAAAGACUCAAUGCACCAACUAAAAUCUGAUUUCUAAGCUUUACAGAAAAAGUUUCUAAUCCAAGAACCAUACAAAUUCGAUACAUUGGUAGGCGAUUGAAUAUCAAAUGUGAUGUAAACAGAAUUCCAAAUUGUUCUAGCCAAAUGACAGUAAAAAAAUAAAUGUUGAAUCAUCUCACUAGAGCUACAGAAGCAACACCUAAUACUGCCUUUCCAAUUUCUCUUUACCGAGUUGUGGCAGACCUGAUGCUCACCUCACACAUCUGGCCUGAUGACUCUACAAAGUGACUGAGCUGGCGCCACAGCUGCACUCUUGGCGUAUGGUCCUGGAACGAAUCCAGAUCAAGUGACUUUGCCCAUGUGAAGCACAGUCAACGUAUCGACAGGUCAAAGUGUAACAGAGAGAGGAGCUGGUUUGGACGGAUCGAUGUCCUAUAGCCUUGCGGUGGUUGGGAGCAAAGUUUCCCUUCCCCUGCAUGCAUGUACUUGAAUCCAUUAUUUUGCAAUUCACCAAGCCAAAGAUGCCCAAAGAGCUCAGUGAGGCGUUCGAUGUAGGCAAAGUACUCACACACUCUGGUGAUAAUCAUACUGCUUAUUUGAUUGAUGGUGGCCUGGGUGCUGAGUACAGUAGCAUUUAUUUUAUGUUGUGGAGUGUACUAGUUGUUGAGACAGGCUGUAAAGAUACACCAUGUUUGAUUACAUGCAAAAAAUUUUUUUUUGAGAAGGUUACACCCUGCUUUGGACAUGGUAACAAUGCAACCACUCCUCCAAGUUCCCUUUCUUCUUUUUUUAUUCUACUACACGGAGAUCGGCGCAACAUCAAGCAUGAGUAAAGAUGCACGAUCGCAGAAAGCUCCUCAUAGUCAAGUUCUAAUCAUUCAAGAAUCAAAGCAAGCAACAACAGCUUGAAACUGGCUCACCAUUUUGGACUACCAAACUCUGAACAAAUACUUCUGGACUGAAAGGAUGCAUCACCCUCACCCAUGUUCGGCCAGGAAAUUUGCUUUGGACGUCUAGGUUAUGGUAAGCCGCCCUGAUGAUGGAUGUUUGGCCGACAUCACCACAUGUCCGGGUUCAGCUACAAUUGUAGGCGACAUAAACCGGAAAAGGACAGACCGGAGGGAUUAGAGUUUUUUUUUUCCUCCUUUUUUGAGAUGGGGAUUUAAGCAUUCUUAGGACGGAGGAGAGGAGGAGAGCGUGGUGCGGCACGUGACCUCAAUUUCUGUCAUUAGCUUGAAUCGUCACUAUGAACAUGUACUAAAAAGUAAAAAUUAGCAUAAUACUCCGUAGUUGCCAAUGAGUACCCACUAGUAGAGAACUGACUUUCGAUCCACCCCCUUUUAUCCCGGUUUAAAAGUGGCCCGGGACAAAAGGGGGUGCGCCGGGGUGCGGGAAUUUGGAGGGGAGCAUUAGUCCCGGUUGGUAAUUGCAACCGGGACUAAAGGCCCCCCUUUAGUCCCGGUUGCAACGGCUAGCGGGGGGCCGUCGGUGGCGGGACCCUUUUAUCCCGGUUGGAGGAUCCAACCGGGAUAAAAGGGACACCCUUUUAUCCCGGUUGGAGGCACCAACCGGGAUAAAAGGGUUAGUCCCGGUUGGUGCCUCCAACCGGGAUAAAAGGGUGUCCCUUUUAUCCCGGUUGCAUCCUCCAACCGGGACUAACUUUCCAACCGAGACAAAAGGUUUGUCUCGGUUGGAGUUUUUAACCGGGAUUAAAACUCAUCCCCCACUAUACCCCGAGACAGAGACUUUCUUCUUCCUCCAGCCCGAGCAGUCCAGCACAUUGAUAGAGAGCUGAGCUUCACCUACUCUCCGGUGGUGCCCAAGCAAGGGAGGUGCUGCCCGAAGUUUUUUCCCUCAUUUUCGUGGGAAUUUGACUCAGCCAACAAGUGCUGCGAAGGUUUGCUACUUCAUCCUCGUGUUAUGCUUUGAUUUAUGCUUUGGAGAUGGAAAGAUUAUUUGCUACAAUGUGAUGAUGAAGUAGAAAAAUGGAGAGGUAUUUUGAGCUAGAAUGUGAGGGAGAUUGAUGUGUCAUAUAUAGUAUGCAUUAUUUCAGUGGUUUAAAAAUGAUGCUACCUUGUCUAGACGGUUUAUCUUAUCAAAUUCAAUAUGGUUUUUUAAAUCCAUAUACUUGUUGAACUUGCAUACCGUGUUCAUUUCGGCGAGAAUGUUCUCCGCCGAGCAGCAACGUAUGUCAAGAAGGAGGUUCGAUUCUACGAGAAAGAGUGAAUACGGACAUCGUGACCGUGUCCCCUUUUCCGUAGCAUCUAACCUCUUUCAUGACGAAGUGCGGUGCCGCCUAGCUGAGGACAUCCUCGCGAAAUGAACACGGUCUUCAAGUUCAACAACUUCUGUAGUGGUAAGGAAAGAAUUUUUGUACAUAGAUGACUUCUGCUACUUGUUGAACUUGCAUACCGUGUUCAUCUCGCCGAGGAUGUUCUCCGCCGAGCAGCAACGUAUGUCAAGAAGGAGGUUCGAUUCUACGAGAAAGAGUGGAUACGGACAUCGUGACCGUGUCCCCUUUUCCGUAGCAUCUAACCUCUUUAAUGACGAAGUGCGGUGCCGCCCAGUUGAGGACAUCCUCGCGAGAUGAUCACGGUCUUCAAGUUGAACAACUUAUGCAGUGUUUGGGACUUUAAUUUAAAUAUGUGUAUUUGGAUCUUCAUGUUGUUGUAUUGUACCAUGUUGUUUGGAUCUUUAAUCGAUUUUCACGCGUAAUCCAUUGUCAAGUGUAAUCCAUUUUCGUGCGUAAUACGAUGCAGAUGGACCGGCAUUGGAUGUAUAAUGCAGACAGGCGGAGCAAGGUGUUUAUUGAUGGCUUGCAUUAUUUUCUCGAAGUGGCAAAAGCGAACAAGCCAGAGAAUGGGUUCGUAUGUUGUCCAUGCUUCCAAUGCAAUAACAGGAAGGAGUAUUCAAAGGAUUCCUGGGGGAUUAUUCACAGCCACUUGUUUAAAUACGGUUUCAUGCCUAACUAUUUGGUUUGGACCAAGCACGGUGAACUAGGGGUUGUAAUGGAAGAUGGCGAGGAGGAGGAGGAAGAUGACACCAUUCCGGACUGGGUUGCAGGCCAAGCUUUUGCAGGUACUACAAUGGGCGAGGCUGAUGAAGAUGAGUUUGCAGAAAAUGACCCUACUGAUGACCUUGGUCAGGUGAUACGAGAUGCAUACAGAGAUUGCGACACUGAGAAGGAAGCAGCAAAGUUGCAGCGCAUGAUAGAUGAUCACCAAAAAUUGUUGUACCCAGGUUGCCAGCAGGGCCAUAAAAAACUAGGUACGACACUAGAAUUUGUGCAAUGGAAGGCAAAAAAUGGUGUGUCCGAUAAGGCAUUUCAGGGGAUGUUGAGAAUUGUCAAGAAGAUUCUCCCCGAGAAUAAUGAAUUACCGUCCACAACAUAUGAAGCUAAACAGAUUAUUUGCCCUCUCGGAUUGGAUGUUCAGAAGAUACACGCAUGCCCUAAUGACUGUAUCCUCUAUCGUGGUGAUGAAUACGAGGAAUUGGAUGCUUGUCCCGUCUGCGAAGCCCUGCGGUAUAAGAUCAGGCGAGAUGAUCCUGGUGAUGUCGAGGGGCAGUCUCCCAAGAAGAGAGUUCCCGCGAAGGUGAUGUGGUAUUUCCCUAUAAUACCACGCUUGAAGCGCUUGUUCAGGAACAAGACGAAUGCUAAGUUGAUGCGAUGGCACAAAGAAGACCGUAAGGAAGAUGAGAUGCUGAGACACCCCGCAGAUGGGGCACAGUGGAGAUCAAUUGAUAGAACAUUCCCAGACUUUGAAAGUGAAGCAAGGAACAUAAGGUUUGGUUUAAGCACUGAUGGAUUCAAUCCAUUCGGUGAGUUGAGUAGUGGUCAUAGUACUUGGCCUGUGACCCUUUGUAUGUUCAACCUUCCUCCUUGGCUGUGCAUGAAGCGGAAGUUCAUUAUGAUGCCGGUGCUUAUCCAAGGCCCAAAACAACCCGGCAACGACAUUGACGUGUACCUAAGGCCGUUGGUUGAUGACCUUUUACAGCUCUGGAAGGAAGAAGGUGUAUGUGUGUGGGAUGAGGAUAGACAAGAGAUCUUUAAUCUACGAGCACUGUUGUUCGUAACCAUCAACGAUUGGCCUGCAUUGAGUAACCUUUCAGGACAGACAAAUAAGGGAUAUCGGGCAUGCACCCACUGUUUAGAUGACACAGAUAGCAUGUACUUGAAGCACUGUAAGAAGGUCGUCUAUAUGGGUCAUCGUCGAUUUCUCCCUGCUCACCACCAGCUGAGAAAGAGCGGGAUGCAUUUCAAAGGGACGCCAGACCAUCGUAAAAACCUGCACACCGUAAUGGAAAACGUGUGUUCGAGAUGAUGAAGGAUGUACAUGUAGUCUUUGGAAAGGGACUUGGUAGCCAACCUGUUCCGAACGAUGAUAACGGACAUGCACCCAUGUGGAAGAAAAAGUCAAUAUUUUGGGAGCUACCUUAUUGGGAAAUCCUAGAGGUUCGCAACGCAAUAGACGUGAUGCACCUGACGAAGAAUCUUUGCGUGAACGUGCUAGGCUUCAUGGGUGUUUAUGGAACCUCAAAAGAUACAUUGGAAGCAAGACAGGACCUGAAAGCCAUGGGGCAACGAGAUGACCUACAUCCGGAAAAGAGAGAUAAUGGACAGCACUACUUACGUCCUGCCAGUUACACUCUCAGCAAGGAGGAGAAGGAUAGCAUGUUUGAAUGCUUGAAUAGUAUGAAGGUCCCGUCUGGGUACUCCUCGAAUAUAAAGGGAAUAAUAAAUAUGAAACAAAAGAAGUUUACAAAUCUCAAGGCUCAUGACUGCCACAUGUUAAUGACCCAGUUGCUUCCGGUUGCACUGAGGGGUGUUCUACCCGAAAAUGUCCGGUUGCCGCUCGUAAAGCUAUGCGCAUUUCUCAAUGCGAUUUCGCAGAAGGCAAUCGAUCCAUCCAAGCUAUCAAAGCUACAGAACGAUGUGGUGCAGUGUCUUGUCAGUUUUGAGUUGUUAUUUCCACCAUCCUUCUUCAAUAUUAUGACGCACUUACUGGUUCACCUAGUAAAAGAGAUUGGUAUUCUCGGACCUGUAUACCUGCACAAUAUGUGGCCUUUCAAGAGGUUCAUGGCAGUCCUAAAAAACUAUGUUCGUAAUCGUGCUCGUCCAGAAGGAAGCAUCGCCAGGGGAUAUGGAACAGAGGAGGUGAUCGAGUUUUGUGUUGAUUUUAUUGAUUCAAUUGACUCGAUUGGGGUUCCAACUUCACGCCACGAGGGGAGGCUCCGAGGAAUGGGCACCCUUGGAAGGAAAUCAAGUUUGAGCAAUGAUACUAAUUUGUUCGACAAGGCACACUACACUGUUCUACAACAGUCAUCCUUUGUGUCUCCGUAUAUCGAGCAGCACAGGCAGAUGGUAGCUUCCAAAAACCCGACCAAAUCCGAUGCUUGGCUUACCCGUCAUCACAUGGAAACUUUUCCCUCCUGGUUGCGCCAACAACUUAUGGGUAACUCUGAGAUUCACCCACAGCUUGCUUGGUUAGCCAGGGGACCUGCUACCACAAUCGUCAAAUUCCAAGGCUAUGAGAUAAAUGGUUACACAUUUUACACGAGAGCCCAGGACCAGAAAAGCACGAACCAGAAUAGUGGUGUCCGCAUAGAUGCCAUGGACAGAAAUAAUAGCAAGGAGUCGUAUUAUGGUUUCAUACAGGAGAUAUGGGAACUCGAAUACGGACCGCUGUACAUCCCUCUAUUUCUUUGCAAUUGGGUGAAGCUAACUGCCGUCACCAAAGAUCAGUACGGAAUGACAAUAGUAGAUCUGAGCAAGACUGGAUACAGUGAUGACCCAUUCGUACUUGCCAAUGAUGUGCAUCAGGUGUUCUAUGUGAAGGACAUGUGCAGCAAACCCAAGAGGAAUGCAGAAGAGACAUGGGAGCCAAAGUGCCACAUAGUUCUUCCAGGUAAAAGAAAAAUCGUGGGAGUCGAGGAUAAAACAGACCAAUCAGAUGAUUAUGAUCAGUUUGAUGGCAUGCCUCCAUUCGACGUUGAAGUUGAUCCAAGCAUCCUGCUGUCCAAAGAGGAGGCUCCGUACUUACGCCGCGAUCAUGAUCAAGGAACUUUCAUGAAGAAGAAAUUUUACAACGUUGUAUUGUAAUGCGUUAAAUGUGCAUGACCUUUGUGUAUUAAUUGAUACAAUUUGUAAUUUACCCUAUGUAUGAUUUCAUGUGUUAUUAAAUUUGUUAGGUGAAGAUUUUUUAGAUAUACAUGAACAUUGUUAACCACAUACUAACAUGGAUUUUUCUGCGCAUUCAAAUAAUUUAAUUGAAUAAUUUAUUGAUCACAGCAAUGCAGUAAAAUAAAUAUUUUACAGGCUACAUGAGUUGGUAUAGAAAUAAUGAUUACUUCAUACUUAUUGUCAAUUUACUCGUUAAUUAAAUAUAUUUUUGCAUGUACAAAAUCUGAGAAGGUUUUGUUUUUCAUCCUGGAAUGCAGUGAAAAGGUUAAAUAAAAUCCAUUUCCAAAAAACAGGCGGGAGAAGAAAAAUAGGAAAAAGGACCUUUUGUCCCGGGUGCUAACAGCAACCGGGACAAAAGGCCCCCCUUUUAUCCCGGUUGCAAACGGCAACCGGGAUAAAAGGGUACGUUUCGUCUCCCGCCCGAACGUACCCUUUUAUCCCGGUUGCCAUUUGCAACCGGGACAAAAGGCCCCCCUUUUAUCCCGGUUGGUGACGGGACCCGGGAUAAAAGGGUGCGCUCCCAGCCCCACCUGGCGGGGGCACCCUUUUGUCCCGGGUCCCGUUACCAACCGGGAUAAAAGGGGGGGGGGCCUUUUGUCCCGGUUGGUAACGGGACCCGAGAUAAAAGGGUGCCCCCGCCAGGUGGGGCUGGGAGCGCACCCUUUUAUCCCGGGUCCCGUCACCAACCGGGAUAAAAGGGGGGGGCCUUUUGUCCCGGUUGGUGACGGGACCCGGGACAAAAGGCUCUUUUGUCCCGGGUGCCAUUACGAACCGGGAUAAAACGGGGGGGGGGGGGGGGGGUUUAAAAGCACUGUACUCCCUUCUACCCCCCGCCAGUUCCACACUUAGCGAAAUUUUCGCAAGUCCCGCGCUCUCCGCCCGUCGCCGCCUGUCCGCCUCCCUCGCCGGCCGCCGCCGUCGUCGUCCCCCAUUGCGCCGUCGAAGUCCCGCAUUGCACCGUCGUCGUCGCCCGUCCGCCUCCCUCGCCCGUCGCCGCCCGUCCGCCUCCCUCUCCGCCCGUCGCCGCCCGUCCGCCUCCCUCGCCGGCUGCAUCGCCCCUCGUCGCCGGCUCCAUCCUCGUCGCCCCUCGUCGCCCCUCGCCGGCCGCCGUCGUCGUCUUCGCCUCGGCCGCCGUCGUCCCGCCGUCGUCGUCUUCGUCCUCGUCGCCGCCCCGGCCGCCGCUGUCCCGCACGCCGCCCGGCCGCCGCCGUCCCGCCGUCACGCCGCCCCGGCCGCCGCCGUCAGGCCGCCCCGGCCGCCGCCGUCCCGCCGCCCCGGCCGCCGCCCCGCGCGCGAGAGGUCUGCCGCGCCGGCCGGUGCGCCGGGAGAGCUGGCCGUUUUCUUUUAAUUUUUAAUUUUGUUUUUUUUAGAUGGAAUUGUAAUUUUGUUAAGUUAGAUUUUUAGAUUUCUAAUUUUGUUAAGUUAGAUUUUUAGAUUUCUAGUUAGUUUGUUAAGUUAGAUUUGUAGUUAGGUUGUUAACUACCGUCCCGCCGUCGUGAUCGCCGCCGUCCCGCCGAGUAGCUACCGUGAGAGUCGCCUUGUAGCCGUCGUGAUCGCCGCCGUCCUGCCGCCCAUCAGAACGUAGUAGCUUAGGCACCGCCCGUGGUUCCGGUGAACCGCCUCCGCCGCCCUGACCGCCGCCGUCCCGCCUUCGCCGCCCUUAUCGCCGUCGUAGAAAUUCGUAGAAAUUCGUCAAAAUUCGUAGAAAUUCGUCAAAAUUCGUAGAAAUUCGUCAAAAUUCGUAGAAAUUCGUCAAAAUUCGUAGAAAUUCGUCAAAAUUCGUAGAAAUUCGUCAAAAUUCGUAGAAAUUCGUCAAAAUUCGUAGAAAUUCGUAGAAAUUUGUAGAAAUUCAUAGAAAAUCGUAAAAAUUUGUAGAAAUUCAUAGAAAUUCGUAGAAAUUUGUAUAAAUUCAUAGAAAUUCAUAGAAAUUCGUAGAAAUUUGUAUAAAUUCAUAGAAAUUCAUAGAAAUUCAUAGAAAUUCAUAGAAAUUCAUAGAAAUUUGUAUAAAUUCAUAGAAAUUUGUAUAAAUUCAUAGAAAUUUGUAUAAAGAUUCCGGACUUUGUACGAUUCAUGUUAUUUUAUGAUUUCAUUAUAUACAUGUAUGAUUCUGAACUGUGAUUAUAUACAAAUUUGUAUUAAGACGAUUUCUAUGACUGUCAUGUAUGAUUCCAUGUAUGUUUGCAGCAAUAGUUGAAAUGGCAGACGAUGAGACCGCAAGGUAUAUCAUGGAGCAGAUAAUCGCUGGUGAUGGUAGUGGCGACAACGUUCCACUAUCAUACACGGAUGAAGAGGGCACCCAGGCGGACAUGUUCCUCAACAUGUCUGCCGAUGUGAAUGAAGAGCAACAGCCGCAGCAACAACUUGCCGUGGCGGAAGGUUCCGGCGAGGUAUAUACAACCAUUCUUGUAUUGUUUCACGCCACCGCUACUAGUACGUACUAAUUAACGAAUCUUAAACUGUUAGCCCUCCGGAUCGACACAAGGGCAGAAGACCCGAGGUCGUACAAAGGUGAUGGAAGGGAGGCUUGUCAUCACCGAAGUUACAGAUGAGGGCAGGCCGGUUGCUCCCGAGAAAGUCGCAAAGAAGUACGUUGGUCAAAUCGGGGCAAUCGUCCGGGACAACGUGCCUAUCAGCAUCAGAGAAUGGAAGGGCAGAAGCGAUAAUCCGUACGCCCUUCCAGAGACAGAAAAGAAUAUGCUGUGGGAAGACGUGAAGAGGCAUUUCACAUUCCCCGAAGAUUAUAGCGAGAAGGAUGUCAAAGCGUGGACACUUAAGAAGAUGGCUACUCAAUUCCAGACAUUCAAGAAGAUGCUGGACACCCACUACAUCAUGAAGGGCAAAACUCCAGACUUCAACGCGUGGCCCAAGUUGAGGGACCACUGGGAUGCAUUUGUUGAAUACAAGAGGAGUGAAGAAGGUGUGAAAAAGAUCACGACCAACGUUGCAAAUGCUAGUCAGAAGGGCUACCACCAUCAUUUGGGGCGAGGUGGGUAUGGCUCAGCAAUUCCCAAGUGGAGAAAGAUGGAACAAGAUCUGAUCGAACGGGGAAUCAUACCUGCAACUAUUGAAUGGCCCGAACGAUCAAAGAACUGGUACUACGCUCAUGGAGGCUCCCUAAGCUAAGAGGAUGGGACGCUGAUUUUCAAUGACAGAAUACGUGAGAAGGCCGAACAUCUCAUGAAGAACAUUGAAGAUUCCAAGGCUGGGAGGUUGAGGGUGGACCGAGAAAAUGAUGAGCUCACAUUGGCCCUCGGUAAUCCAGAGCACCCAGGACGUUGCCGGGGGUUCGGGGUGGUUCCGUGGAAGUUCGCUUUCUGAGGCGACAGCGCCUCUUACAGAAGCCGGAAGCGAAGAAAGGAACAGAUGGAGGAGAGCUGGCGGCAGAUGCUAGAACAACGAAUGAUGGAUGAAAUCAAUCGGCGGGUGGCCGACGCAGUUGCGGAGUUGGCGCAAUCUGGAGCACUGCCGAAUCCUCACACCGCCAGCCCUUCUCAAUGCCUCGGGAGCAGUUGUGCUUCUACAGGGGUCCCCAAUGCGCAGACGCCCAGGUUACCCGUGGAGGAGCAACGGUUCCCCGUGGAUGCCAUCACGCAACGGACCUCAUGUGAGCUGCAUGCACCGGUCGGCAACCUCACUAUUAAGGUAUACUUAUACAUAAUAUUUAUGCAAUCUUGUCAAUUGAUCCAGGCCUCGAGAUCGGAGUUCAACUUGUUUACUUCUGCUAUAUGUAUAGGUAGCGUACGGGAGUGCGUUACCAACGCUGGCAGGGCAGAGCAGUCAUGGCAUGGACAUUCCAACAGGCUACGCCAGCGUCUGCGUCGAGCAAAUAGUAGAUGCCCAGUAUGAAGGUCUAGAGCUCGACUUCCCGGGAGGCGACGGGGAAAAGACAUUGGCAGAUGCGCUUCAUGGGAUCAUUCUAUGGAAGAAACGCUACAUCAUUAUUUCCCGCACGGAGCCAUCUCCUCAGACCUCAAGACCGCUCCCCGUAGAUCCCGAGCAGCGAUCUUCUCCUCAUACCUCGAGACCGGCAUCUCCUGCUCCAGGACCGUCGCUUCCAUCUAUAUCAAGGUCUCCAUCUCCACCACAUCCUGGUGCUGGGAGCGACGACGACAAUAACAACACCCCUCCCCGAUCACCGUCGCCGGCACCAAGAGCGGCCCCCUCGAAGGAACCUGCAGCACCACUCAAGAAGUCACGAGCACCGCCUCCCAAGCAAAGAUAGCCUCGAAAGAAGAAAACAAAGGUCGACCCUGAAGUGGCUCGCAAGGAACACUUUGAGGCAAUGUCUCAUGCGGAACAGUGGGCAGAAAUCCAACGAGAGGCCAGUGAGUGGUUCAAGAAACAAGCCGAAUUAAAAAAGGCAAGGGAGAUGGAGCCACCGCCAGUAAGUCGGCGGGAUUUAAACUUUUUUAUCAGGAUGGAGGAAGGAGCCAAGAAAAGGAUACCACUCUUGUCAAACUAUGAACGGGCUCUAGUAAAGGCUGAUGAAAAGGAUAAAAGAAAAGGAAAAUCAUCCUCCAGCGGUUCAGUCCCCGACCUCAGCCAUUUAUCAAAGAAAGAUGCUCAACGGGUAAAAGCAAUGCCCUUGGAUCAACAAGAAAAUAUAUUGAAGUUCAUGGAAGAAACAGGUCUGGGACUUGAUGAAUGCAUAGGGCAAGUCGAGAUGCCAACUGCACCGCCCCCUGAGCCGAGAUGGCCUUAUGAGCUAGGCAAGCCUCUAGUGAAGCCGGCAAUGGUACGGAAGCUGUCAACAAAGAUGUACGAAUUCCAUCAAUGGUACAUGACGGCAUCCGCCAAAUCGAGGGAGAUGAUCGGCAUGAAGGUAAAACCGAUAGAUUUUCACGGUGAAGGGGAGAAAGUGCUGUGGCUAGACUUCAAGGAUAUAUACGAAGUGUACCAUCAUGAUGCCCUGGACGUCUCUCUGAUCAACGCUUGGAUUCUGUAAGUGUCCGUUUAUUAUCUCUACAUGUAAAUUUUGGCGUGCGUCACCGUACUAACUUCAUCUUCCAUUUCAUGUAGGAUGCUAAUUCAGACAUGCCGCCGAGAGGCGUACCUACAUGUAGGCUUCAUGGAUCCAUCUGUAGUUAACCAACAACAGAUACAAUUAGCGCCGGAAAAAACCUUUGCCGAAAUAUACAAUUUCCUACACAAACAAACAUUCAAGGACUUCAUACUACUUCCAUACAACUUCAAGUAAGUGUGUGUAUACCGUCUACUUUCGAUGUCUUUUUCCUUAUCUCUACAUGUUAGUUAGCUCUAAUAUGCAUGAACAUUUUACGCACGCAGCUUCCACUGGAUCCUUAUUAUAAUUGAGCCUGAAAGAAGCCACGUCACUGUCUUUGAUUCAUUACGGAAAGAUCCGGUGGACUACCAAGAAUUGCAAGACAUGCUAGGCUUGUAAUAAUUCUGGACCUUUAUCUCUAUGCAAAAAUUUAUUUCCUAAAUUUUAUCCCUGUUACACUAUGUCAUUCAUUAUUCUAAUCCGCAGCGUAUGGAAACAAUUCAUAAGGACACACAAAGGUCCAUUCAAAGAAGAUCUUACAUGGAACACAGACUUCCCGGUACGUAUGAAGUCUGCACAUUUAUUACAUUGUAUAACACGAAUAUUUCAUAACUUAUUUUUUUUCCGCACUGAAGUGCUUAAGACAGGAACCCGGGAAUAACCUAUGUGGCUACUACAUCUGUGAGCACAUGCACAGUUUUUUGGGACCCAAGGGACCGAAGAUGACGCCGCACAACUUUAAAGUACGUAAAAUAAAUAUAUUACUAGUUAAUUAUUUUCUAGCUCCUUAUAUGUAUUUGUUCAUGUAACAUUCACAAAUUUCCAAAUUAUAGAUGUUAAAUAUUCAACAAGGACUCUUGAAGGAAGAAAGAGUAGCGGCAAUAUGUGAAGGUCUCAUUGGAUUCAUAAUGGACGAGGUGGUAAAUCCAAGAGGAGAAUUUUAUUACGAUGGACGACAAUUAGACACUCCUCUCAGCAACACCACGACGGGAAGAUCGUAGGAAGAUACUUUGAUUUAUUUGUAUAUAUGAUCGAUUUGUACUAAUUAAGCUAGUUGAAUUGUGUAUAUGAAUUGUGUAUAAGGAUUGUGUAUAUAUAUAGUAGUUGUAUAAUUACAAAUCCCAUUCGUUUAAAUACUAGUUGAUUUAAUUCAUUCUAAAAAAAUCUCAACUACAAGGUUAACAAAUUAAAAGGGCCGCGGUACUACUAUACGUAUACGUGAUGCAUGCAUGAAAAAUUCAGGCGUCACCAGUGCCAUGCAAGCGCAAUUUAGUCCCGGUUGGAAUUGAGCCGGGACUAAAGGGGACCCCUUUAGUCCCGGUUGGUAAAUCCAACCGGGACUAAAGGGCCUGUCCCGCGCCUGGCGUGGCAGGCCCUUUAGUCCCGGUUGGUGACACCAACCGGGACUAAAGGGGGUCCUUUACUCCCGGUUAAAAUACCCGGGACUAAAGACCCCCCCCUUUUGUCCCGGUUGGUUUAUCCCGGAUGGAUAUCCGAGAGAUAUGACCCUUACCAACCGGGACUAAUGCUCAGUUUUCUACCAGUGACCGGACUCAACUACACAAACUGCUUUCAUACGACACAAAUCAACUAGAAGGCUCUUGCUCCGGCAUACCAGCCAUCCUGAUAGAGCUUCUGGUCACCUACGGAUGUCGGAGACGAUACUUUUAAAAAGUAUUGUUGUGUAUUGGUGAAUCUUUCUUGCCGUUGGCAAAUUACAUGCCUUUGCAGAUCACGUAAGUAUGGUCAUUUGGUCCAACAUGCAACAACCACAGCAACAGCUAGCUGCUUACUCAAUCUAGUCAUUAGUCAAGAUCACAGUAAAAACGCACUCUGAUCCAUCCGUAGCUACAAUGGCAUCAGCAGGAACAGGAAGCAGCUAAGGUAUAUUCCAAAUCCUUUGGAAGGUGACGAAGGUAUUAGCAUGACCACCCCCCUCCGCCGGUGACCAUCCCGGUCCCGGCGUCCACCCCGCCCCGCCGGUGGUCACCCCGACCCCGGCGUACACCUAGUCCCGCCGGUGACCACCCCGGUCCCGGCGUCCACCCCGCUACGCCGGUCACCAUCAUAGUCCCGGCGUUCACUCUGCUCCGUCGGCUCCCUCUCCGGCUCAGGAGACGCUGAUCAUCACCCCAGUUCCGGCGUCAACACCUCUACGUCGGUAUCAUUGCUUGAUCCGGUGCCCACACCCUGUGUAUGGAUCACUGGCGCAGACCUUUGUUCGUGAGUGCAUCCUUUGAAGCUUCCAUCCGGACAACAGCACAGGAGGAAGGUAUCUUCGCAGCUUGACUUGGAAGAGGUUACCCUCUUAACAUCCUACUACAUCUCUUUGCUCUCCGCGUUUGAUCUUAGAUAUGGAUCAUACAAAAUUCAACUUUAGCCUGGGAGAAGACUUUAGUCGGCUGGUUAUGAAUAAGAUUGGUACUCAGGUUACUCUGGAUGAAACAAAAGCAGGAAAUGGUUUUCACCUGCUGGUGGUGUUUAGCAGAAACAGAUUUCGAUUAUCUGCAGAAACAGUAAACACUUGUCUUAACUCUAUUUUGGGAGGAAAAAAGGAAUCAUUCAUGGCAGAAGAAUUAGAAGAACAAAUCUUCAAAUUCAAGGUUUCAUCAAGAGAGGUUGGAUUUCUGAUAGUUAAUCAAGGUCUAGUUCUCUGUGAUCUAUUCAAGCUCUCAUUCUUCCUGCUGAAUGAUGAUGGAUUUGCCAAGGCAUUGAAAUUUGCAAAACAGGAUUCUGGACCUUUGUAUUAUUGGCAAUCUGCUAAAAAAAAAGAAAUCCACGUUGUUGUCCCAGGUACAACAUCCUUACUCUCAUCUUUUAUCUGGAGCCAAUUUAACUCCCCUGGGUUUUAGAGGUCAUGAAUCCAGAAAUAUUGCCACUAGGCUUAAACGCCCUGUUUCUUAUGCUGACAUGGUUAGAAACCACCCCAAAACCUUUCCUGGGGAAAAAGUUUCUCUUCAUAAUAGAGAGAUUUCCUCUGGUAGCCCCUCUUCCCAUAUAGUGCAAAGGGAAAAAUUCUAUCCUGCACCUAGGAAAUCUGUCUUUCAAAGAAUGCAAAACUUGCCUAGACAGUCAGUUUUCGAAAGAUUACAAAUCCCAAGAAAGGCUGCACCCAGAUUUGAACCUUGGCAUUGGAAUAGGAGCAAGAGACAGAAAAUCUCUGAUCCAAGAUAUCCCAGAUACCCCAGGGCUAACAUCUCGGAAUAUGUUCAUGCUUGGACUGAAAAAGACCAGCUCCCAUCUGCCAACCGCUCAAGGAGGUUCUCACCUCAUUGGCUGACUUGUUGGCACUGUAAUCAAGUAGGACACAACUUCCAAACCUGCUCUAGGAGGUUAAGCCUUCAAAAAUUUACGGCAGCUUUUGCCUCGAGGCCUGGCAGUAGCUUUUCCUCGGUAAUUGACGAAAACGGUUGGCCAAGGGAUAUUGGGCUGCGUUGGUUUAAAGCAGGCCAAAAAAUGUCUACUGGGAUAGCCCAAGAAAGCCCACCGGGCACUAUUCCCCUAAAAAAUUUGGGGAAAAUUGAGUGGAGAAUACGAGGAGACACUCCUUCUCCUUCCUCCUCGUUGCCACACAGUACUCCACAGCAACAGCCUGACCCAAAUCAAGAACUCCUCCAUCCUUCCCUUGCCGAGGAUAGAGAGCAAGAACACUCCGCCACCAGCAUGGCCUUCCUAAAUGUGGAUCCAGAACCACUUAUGUUCCCUGGCUUCAAUCGAGUCUUGGUUCAAGGACGACCCAAGUUCACCAGGGUGGUCACUCCAAGAAGCUCUCCGGCGAAUGAAGAUCUUGCGAUCGUCACUGUUUCAAACUUCCCCCCUGGUGAGAUUCCAUUCAAUGCUGUUCAACAAGCUAUAGUUGGGUUGAUUGAGGAUGAUUAUGAGCUUCGUAUCAAAGAAAUCCAAAGAAGCCCUUUUCACAGAACACAAGCUUUUGUCAGACUUAAUAGAGUCACUAAUAGAGAUGCUCUAGUGCAGCAUAGUCCACUUCAAAGCAAUGGUCUUUCAUUUGUUUUUGUCAGGCAUAAUAGAGGCCCCAAUGCCAGGAGAGUGCUAUUCAAUAGAGAAUGUUGGCUACUCUUGAUUGGUUUUCCAAUAGAUUCUAGAGAUAUUGAGGACAUCCGAGAUGCUAUAAAAUCUUUUGAGAGAUUGAUUUGUUGGCAGAAAGACAAUGUCAUGGCUAGGGUGGUUGUUAAAGUCAGAGUCACAGAACUGGAAGAUAUACCACACUACCUGGUUUUUUCAGAGGGGGACGACUUUGAAGGAAUUUCAACCACUGUUCAAGUAGAAAUCAUGCAGCAAAACAUGCUUGGAGGGCAGCUACCAGAUGAAGACAUUCCCCCUCCAGGCUAUGAUGAUGAUUUUGUGUUUCCAGGGCUACAGGCACAUAAUGCAAAUGACAACCAUCAGAUGCCCCAGCAACAAAUCCAAGUUCAGCAAAAUCCACCUAUGGAUGCACAGAUGCAUAAUCAUCAGCAACAGGUAGCUCUCCCAGACUUGAAUGAUGAUCCAGAAGAAGAGGAUCAUAUACAAGAACAAAUGCAGCAACUCAUGGAGGACUUGGAAAAUCAAGCACCAGAACAGAUGGAACUGCAACAGGAUCAGCAGCAAGAAGUUAUGGAUCUCCAGCUUAGUUUGUCCUUAUCUUUACCACCCAACUCGAGCAACAGCAUAGAGGGAGGAAGAAAAGGCUCAGAGAAAAGUGUCGAAGGAACAUCACACCAGCAAGGACAUUUGAAUGAACAACCUGAGAUAGUGUUGGGACUUCCCGCCAUAAUCAAUAUGAAUAUUCAAGGGGAACAGCAUAUGGGCCCACAACAUGGAGAAGAGAAUGUUGGAGCAAAUUUCUUCCUACCAGACUUUCUUAACCCCAUCCAACUUAACUAGGAAGAGGGGGAAGAACAAGGGGCUCAGAUCAACAUGAACAUUGAUGUCAACAUGCUCAUCACCCAAACAGACUACAAUAAUAGGAUGGACCCAGGAUGGGCUGCAAGGGUUGGCAAAGCAAAGGUAGACAAGGCAGAAAACCCAGACUGGCAACACAUCUGGGCACAUCUCUUCCCCACCAACGACACUCCUAAACAGGUGACAACAAUACCUGCUGAUUGGGCACCCUUUUUCAUUAAUAAGCUCUCUACACCUUCUAGAUUUGAUUGGGCCAGAGCCUUUCUUACAUCAAAUGCUAUUGCUCUCUUGUCUUCAAGUGCUACAAAUCUCAAUAUGAUAUCCUUCCAAUUACCAAUGGCUUGCUCUCAACAUGAUCUACCUAAAUGUUCCCUGUCAGAACUCAAAGAUAAUGAAUCUAAUGAGGAUUCUCCUGCUGAUAACCCCUGUCAACAGAAAAAAAUGAGAAGAGAAGAGCCUCAAGUGGAGAUACAAGCUCGGCGCAGUCCAAGAAUUCGACUACGCAAUGCCGGCUUCAAACACUCCAACUGUACCUCCAAGAAAUGUCUUGCAUGUGCUACAGUCCCACCCACCCUAUCAAGUAAAGCUAUGAUGACGGUUGGAACAGAUCAUUGCAAGAUCAGUAAAGAAAAGCUGACUGAGGAGGCGCUCAAAACAAAGAAACAGAAGCAGGCACCAAUUGGGGCAGGAAGAUCUGCUGAAUCAAGGAACAAGGACUCCAUAGAGGAGGGGGAAGGAUCCACAGUCUGAAGAAGAAGCUAUCAAGCUUUUUGGACCAUCUGACAGCUUUUGUCUUUGUCAAAUGCUAGCAAUUUGUAACAGAACUCGAAGGGUCAGGAGUGGAGACUUUUGUAUCUUCCUAAACUUUAUGUCGUUAUUUUGUGAUCAUAGUGAUCGGCAGACCAGGAAAACAAGGGUGGUAACAGUUUUUGUGAUGGAAAAGACAAUCCUUAACAUGGCAACAUUCUAUGAUAACCUUGCUUGUUGGUUUUUUCAAUCUUUUUGUACCUUGCUAGAUGGGAUUCUUUUGUCAGCCUCUACAAUAGGUUUCCUAGAGGUUUUAUUUACGAAAUUCUGGCCUCUGCCUCAAUGACCGAACAUCUUUAACUCUUAUCAUGAAUCUAAUGAAUCGCUCACAAGGGAAAAAGGAGUGGAAGAUCUUGUCUUGGAAUAUUAGAGGAAUAAAUUCAGAUGCAAAAUGGAAUGCAAUCAGGAGCAAAAUCAUAGAAGCAAGGUGUGAUGUGGUAUGUCUACAGGAAACAAAAAGGGAUUCUUUUGACCAGGCUUACAUCAAAAAAUUUUGUCCCCCCCAGCUGAAUGAGUUCUUCUAUAACCCAUCUGUUGGGUCCUCAGGGGGAUCUAUCAUCAUCUGGAAUAACUUGAAAUUUGAUGGUGUUCUGGAAUUUCAAAACUCUUAUGCACAGUCUAUUCUCCUCACUUGUAAAGGGACAGGGGAAUCCUGGUACUUGUCAAAUAUCUAUGCACCUUGCACUACUGAAGGAAAACGAGAAUUCAUACAAUGGUUCAAAGCAGUGGAGAUGGGAGAAGAAGACAAAUGGCUAGUAGUAGGCGAUUUCAAUCUCAUAAGAAGACCAGAAGACAGGAAUAAGCCUGGAGCCAACUGUCAGGAGAUGUUAGCCUUUAAUAACGCAAUAAGCAAGCUAAGAUUGGUAGAACUACCUCUAAAGGGGUGCAGAUUCACGUGGACAAAUAAGCAACAUAACCCCUUGCUGGAAAGAUUGGAUUGGUUUUUCACCUCAAAAGCUUGGACGACCUGCUUGCCCAAUUCCUUUGCAAUAGGACUUUCUAGAGAUAUCUCAGAUCACACGCCAUGUGUGAUAACAGCCCAAACAAGCAUGCCACAAUCAUCCUCCUUCAGGUUUGAGAAUUAUUGGUUACAACAUGAAAGUUUUCUGCCUAUUUUACAGCAUGCAUGGAGCCUACAAUCCCCACAAGAGGACCAGGCUAUGAAGAUUAUUGGAAAACUUAAAAAGCUAAGAAGGAUCCUCAAAAUGUGGAAAUCGCACUUACCAAGUCUAGAGAAAACUAUACAGAACAACAAAUCAACUCUACAAUUCAUGGACCUAAUAGAGGAGUCAAGAGAUCUCAGUAUAGAAGAAUGGAACUUUAGACAUUUGGUGGAACAGAAUUUGGAACAGCUACUUCUUCAGCAGAGAACUUACUGGAAGCAAAGGGGGAAGGUUAGAUGGAUAAAAAUGGGGGAUGAAUGCACAAGAUUUUUCCAUGCACAUGCAUCUAUCAAGAAAAGAAGAAAUACAAUAACCCAUCUAAGAGAUGAAGGGGGUACUCAAACAACUCAACAUGAAGCUAAAGCUGACAUACUAUGGAAAUCCUUUAAAGAAAGGUUAGGGGUAUCAGAAUACACACACAUGUAUUUCCAGCUACAAGACUUAUUCCAACAGGAGGAUAACCUGGACAUUCUGGAUGAACCAUUUUCAAAGGAAGAAAUAGAUAAGGUAAUCACAGAACUUCCAAACGAUAAGUCGCCUGGGCCGGACGGAUUCAAUGGAGAAUUUAUCAAAAAAAGCUGGCAGGUUAUAGCAGAAGAUUUUUACAAACUUUUCCAAGACUUCUAUGACAAUAACAUUUGCCUACGAAGUAUCAACUCCUCAUAUAUUACCCUCAUCCCUAAGAAAGAAAGCCCGAUGGAUGUGGGAGACUACAGACCCAUUUCGUUGCUUAACUCGUCUCUUAAAAUAAUUACCAAGCUUCUGGCGAUAAGAUUACAACAAGUGAUCAAGAAUAUGAUACAUCAGAACCAAUAUGGCUUCAUUAAAUCCAGGAGCAUUCAAGACUGUUUAGCAUGGGCCUAUGAGUACUUACACAUCUGUAAUAAAUCAAAAAGGGAACUGAUCAUCCUCAAAUUAGACUUUGAAAAAGCGUUUGAUAAAAUUGAACACAAGGCCAUUAUAGAAGUUUUGAAGCACAAAGGGUUUGGGCCCAGAUGGUUAAAUUGGAUCCAAGAUAUCUUAGCAACAGGAACAUCUUCGGUUCUACUAAAUGGAGUCCCAGGGAAAGUAAUCCACUGCAAAAGAGGAGUUCGGCAAGGAGACCCACUGUCUCCACUUUUAUUUGUCCUGGCAGCUGAUCUUCUUCAAACCAUAGUAAACCAUGAAAAAGACUUAGGCAGUCUCAACCUUCCCAUUCCUCAGGGAGCAGGGACAGACUUCCCCAUAGUCCAAUAUGCUGAUGAUACACUGCUAUUCAUGGAAGCCUGCCCCAGACAGCUUUUGAAGUUGAAAGAAAUCCUGCACAUAUUUGCUCUGUCGACUGGGCUCAAGGUUAAUCACGGAAAAUCGACAAUGAUGUCGCUGAACAUCACAAAUGACAGAUUAGCCAGCCUAGCACAGAUCUUUGAAUGUCAACACAGUUCAUUGCCUUUCACAUAUUUAGGCUUGCCUCUGGGAACGACCAAGCCAAACAUGGAGCAUUUCAUGCCUCUCCUACAACGAAUUGAAAGGAGGCUAAAUUCCAUGUCCAUGUUCUUAAGUCAAGGGGGAAAACUAGAAAUGGUCAACUCAGUUUUGUCCUCAUCAGCUGUGUUUUAUAUCUCUACCAUCAGACUUCACAAAGGGGUGAUAAAACAGAUUGAUAAGUUUAGAAAGCACUGUUUAUGGAAUGGAGCAGAUCCAAGCUCCAAAAAACCUUCAAAAGCAGCAUGGCCAAUAGUAUGUACACCCAAGGAUUGUGGGGGCCUGGGAGUUAUCAAUAUUUAUGCACACAAUGAAGCCCUCCUUAUGAAGUUUCUACACAAAUUCUAUACAGAAGCAGAUACACCAUGGGUCAACUUGAUCUGGAACAGCUAUUAUCACAAUGACACACUACCUGGAACACAGUCCAAAGGAUCCUUCUGGUGGAGGGAUGUCCUUAAGUCGCUCGACAAAUACAAGGGCAUAGCCUCGGCUACGAUAGCAGAUGGCUCAACAGUCUUCUUCUGGCAUGAUCUCUGGAAUGGAAUAAUACCAAGUCAGACUUACCCAGAGUUGUUCUCCUUUGUCAAAGAAACUAACAACACGUACAAGACAGUAUAUGGAAGGACCAACUUCAUACAAAACUUCAGCCUUCCCCUCUCUGCCGAGGCACAUAGGCAAUACUUGGAUUUGCAACAAUUUAUUGAGAGAAUCAUACCAAUAGCAAACAGAGAUGUCUGGUCAUACACAUGGGGAACAACGAAAUACUCAUCACAGAAAGCAUAUAAAACAAUCAUUGGCCACCGUAUUGUUCAUCCAAGCUUCAAAUGGUUAUGGAGGUCAAAAUGUCAAAAAAAAACACAAAUUAUUCUUCUGGCUACUUCUCAGAGACCGACUAAACACAAGAGACCUUUUAGACCGAAGACACAUGCAGCUCGAGUCACAAACUUGUGAGAUGUGCAUUUGGCAGAAAAGAGAAACAGUUAAACACCUUUUCUUCUGCUGCAGAUUUGCCAAAGCUUGUUGGAACAGUAUAGGGAUAACAUAUACCUCCACAAGGACGAUUCAGAAUAUUAUCUUACAAAUUAAAAACAAGCUACAGGUUCCCUUCUAUAUGGAAAUCAUCAUUUUGAUAGCUUGGAGCAUAUGGACAACAAGGAAUGGAUGGUUUUUCAACAAUUUGGCUCCAUCUCCUGGGGUUUGCUUGCAAAAAUUCACGUCGGAAUUCAAAGACAUUUUACUAAGAGUAAAGCCAAGAUAUUUGCAACAAAUGGAAAUUUGGCUCCAUCUGUUCGCCGUUCAUUAGCAAGGGCUCUUUGUUUUGUUUUCGUUACCGGUACUCUUGCCUACCUUCCUUUGCUUUCUAGGUCUCUCUUUCUUUAUUUUGUUUAUUCCUUUUUUUUUACCUGUUCUAUUUCUAUUUCUCUUUGUUGACUCUUUUGAACUUGUAAUGCUUCAUUUCUAAUUUAAUAUAACCAGUAAGGGGCCCGCACCCUUCCUGUUUUCUCAAAAAAAAAUCAACUAGAAGCCGGCCGGAAUCCCAAUGGAGAUGAAAUGAUGCUAAGCCUUCCUUCUUCGUCUGGUGGAGUUCAGGACGCGUCGGCUACUCGGCUGUAUUUGCGUGAAGCAAAAUACCAUUUUGGGCAAGGGCCGAAAAUGUCCGCAACAUGGCAUCUGAAGCCCGUGGGCCCACCACGAGCUUGUAGUUCUCAAGCAUCAAGCCACCAUUUCUUUGUGGCAACUACUCAUCGCACUUCAUGGGGAUCAAGCGACAAAUCUAUUGGCAAAACCUCAGUAGGUGAACGAGCUGGAUAUAUAUACCCACGCUUGGGAUUCAUGCCUUAUAGUGGUAAUAGAAUCUCCUGAUCAACGCAGAAAAAUGCAAAAGGAACAAAAUUUGGCCAUUUGAUUGGUUUGAAUAGCUAUUGGGAUUUGCAGCCAUACACAAAUAGCACCACUUGAUUCAUCGUGGGGAAGAAACAUCUUCAUAAAAAAUUCAUAAAAAUCCAUUAUGAUAUAUAUGUACUAGGGCAUAAUAAGUUUAAGCGAGCAAGCCAUCAAGCUUAAUUACGUGCUACAGUACUGUAUCAAGCACGUACGAAAGAUCUCAUACGAAUCAACGAAUAAGAUAGAUAGAUAGAUGUCAGAGGCAUAGUACUAAUAAUAGGAUUAUCUAUGAUAUUAAGUACCCUUGUCUUCCUCGCCAAAAAAAAAAGGAAACUUAUCAUAGAAUGCAUAAACACCAGUGGAAAACUCGGUAUUCGUCCCGAGACUUAGUACUGGGUGGUUUUUGAACCGGUACUAAUACUCAGCAUUAGUAUCGAGUCUAACGGCUAGUUCCUAGGAGCCCCCCUGACCCCCUUUAGUACGGUUGGGGGCUUCAACCGUACUAAAGGUCACCCAUUAGUACCGGGUGGAGUCUCCACCCGGUACUAAUGGGUGACCUUUAGUACCGGUUGGAGUCCCCAACCGGUACUAACUUCGCUCCUAUAAAUCAAGCGUCUUCUUUCUCCUGCUCGAGCCAUUUCCUCCAGUUCAAGCUUCAUCCAUUCAUGGCGAAAUAGGGGAGGUGCUGCCAGAUUUUUGACCAUUUCAUGGGGAUUUCACUCAUUCAAGUGUUCUAAAGGUUAGAAACUUCAUCCUCCCUUCAUACAUGGUUAGUAUACUAAGUUUUAUGCUUUAGAGCUAGAGUAAUCUGUGACUUUUAGAAUAAGGUAUAAUGGAGAAAUUUUUUAUUUAUAUGCAUGUGUUAUUUAGAGCUCAUAUUUGUGAUUUUUAGAAUAAGCUAUAAUUUUUUAGAUGCUAUGUUGUGUAUUAGUCAAAAAAUUAAUAUGAGGUUAGAGGAAUAAUUUCAUAGUUUAGUAUUUUACAAAUAUGAGCUAAAUAAAUUAUGGGAAAAAAUAUAAUUUGUUUGUAUUUUAGUUAUUUGCAAAUAUGAGCGAGAUAAAUUGUGGUACAUAGAGAUAAUAGGAUAAAAUAGAGGUAUGUAAUUAGUUAUUUUUAGAAUAAGCUACAAUUGAGAAAGUUUUUAUUUAUAUGUUAUGUUUGAGCUAAAUAAUUUGUGGGGAAAAAAUAAUUUGUUCAUAGUUUAGUCAUUUGCAGAUGAGCUAAAUAAAUUGUUGUACUUAGAGAUGGCUACUGCUACUGGUGGUAGUGCCGAUGGUGGGGAUGAUCAUUGUUCCUCUCGCGGCAAGGGGAAAAUCAUAGUUGGCCCUCAUGAUAAGCCUAAGAAAAUGAGCACGUGGGAGAGAGCAAUGCUUUGUUAUUUGGAAAGAUGUCAUGAAGAUGCUAUUGCGGUGGGUGAGGAACCUCCUUUUGGUGGUCGUUAUGCUCCACCGCCAGUCCCGGGUGUUUCAAGUCCACUGAGUACUACGGUCGUAGGAGGCACAAAUAAACCACACAAUGAGGCUGGGUCACUGAAACCUUCGUCUUCGCCGCCUAGGGAUGCUUAAAGUCCUCCCAGAUAGUACUCAGUUGAUGGUUUGUUAUAGUGUAUUAUGUUGUUUGGGUUUGAAAUUUAAAUGUGUGUAUUUCUGUCUAAAAUUUCAGCAACAUUUGAAUUUAAUGGUAUUUGUAUCAUAUUUGUAUCAUAUUUGUUAUGCUUCAUGUAUAAUUCUAUGGAUGAUCAGAAUAUCUUUGGUUCGGUAAUACUUUGUAGGUAGAUCGGCAAUGGAUGUACAACACGGAUAAAUGCUCCAUGGAGUAUAUUAAUGGUUUGCGUGGUUUUCUCGAUCUGGCAGAGUUCAACAAGUUGUCAUAUGGUUUCAUUUAUUUUCCAUGCUGAAUUUGCAAAAAUGAGAAGGAUUACUCAUCCAGACUAUUUACACCCACAUAUAUAGUUUGGGGUUGAUGCCUAACUAUUUUGUUUGGACCAAGCACGGGAAAGAGGAGUUAUGAUGAAGAUGAUGAUGAUGAAGAAGAUGAUAACUACAUUCCUAACUGGACUCAAGGAGGUACCUUUGCAGAUGCUGCAAUGGGCGAGGCUGAAGAAGAGAUGAUUGCAGAAGAAUAUCCUACCGAUGAUUUAGGUCAGGUGUUGUGACAUGCAAAGGAAGACUGCGAGAAUGUGAAGGAGUCAAAGAAGUUCGAGCGUAUGUUAGAUGAUCAUGAGAAAUUGUUGUACCCAGAUUGCAAACAUGGGCAUAACAAGUUGGGUACCACACUAGAAAUGGUGCAAUGGAAGAUAAAAAAUGGAGUUUCUGACAAGGGUUUUGAUGAGUUAAUAAAAAUUAUAAAGAACAUGCUUCCCAAGGGGAACGAAUUGCCAUUCUCAACGUACAAAAUGAAAAAGUAGCUUCUCCUAAUUCUGUGAAGUGAUUCUCCAUCCUAAUUUUUAAAGUUUCGACAAAAACCAAUCUAAUAUUUUGCAUCUUUUCUUUUCUUCUUUUGCCUUAACUUUUCCAAUCCCAAUCUGCUAUUCUUCCUUCAUCUCGACGACGUUUGAAGGUGUUCUAGGUGGCCUGCCGGCCCUAUAACAACCCUACAUGCGCCUGCCCUGACAGGAUCCCUCUCGGGCGAGUGUUCAUCGAUCUACCGUCGGUCUUCCCGACAACCGGUCAGACCGGUCGUUGUAACCGGUCAGAUUGGCCUGCACCGAGGUGCUGCAGUGAGCCCCUCCGCGAGCUACACGAUCAUGUGCGUUCAUGUGUUGGCCUAAAAAAGCGUCAACACAAACUAUGAUAAUCUGCAAUUGUAUGCUAACAACAAAAGGAAAUCAACUUUGGCCACUCAUUUAUAAACAAGUGUUUGGAUGGGCCAUAAAAAUAAUUAAUAUCAAUGGAUUCUUGUCACGUAAAAACAUCUUCAUAUAACACCAGAAAGUAAAGUAGAAACAGGUUGGAGGGUUCAUUCGUAACCAUCCGCAGGCACCCCUUGCGGGAGUAGUAGGAGCACCCGGGAAGGGCGGCAUGGACACUGGUACGCACGUACCAAAUUGAGAACCCACCUGGCCACCUGGGCCGCUGAUCUUCAGCCUUGCACGAAUGAUCGAUCCUGCCACAAAGGAUGUCCUUGUGUUCUUGUGUAUCUAUAUUCUAUAUAAAGAGGUUACAGAUCAGAGUUGCUCAAAAUGGCAGAAAUACAGACCUGCACGAGACUCAGUCCACCACCCUCACAAUGGGUUGGUUUGGAUUCCGAGCAAGCUGUUCCUGGAUUUUCUUCUUCAGUUCACCUUUCUUGCGCCUAGCUUCCUCGUUGAUGGUUAUUAUUUCUCCACGCCAGUACAUAUAAACAUCGAGCUGGACUUCGUUGAUGCUUUGGAGAAUAUCUAGCCCAGAAAAGCAAAUCUCAUUAUUUGCAACCCCUGUGACCUGCAGCCACUCAAGUUUGGGCAUUGCUCCUUGCUCAAACUUUACCGAUUUGACCUUGCUUAUUACUCCAAAACUGAGCACCCUGAGGCUUCCAAAAGCUAUUCCAGCCUGCGAUGAUUUGAAAUCAAGUUCUUCACCCUGAAGCAAUGACCAGUGCCAAGACAGAACUAGAAUUUCCAGCUUCGCUAGGUUCCCAAGGAAUUCCAUAGCAGCAUCGUGCUCCAAUAGCCUGGUCCUCGCUAGUUUCAACUUCACGAGAUGCGGGAGCUCCUUGAUCCAUUCCGGCAACGUUUCCAGAUUGCCGUAGAGCUUGAGGCUCUGCAGGUUUUCCGGAGGGGAGGAUAUUCCAUCCAAGCAGCCACGCAAACCUCGCUUCCCUGCUGAACGCACCGACAGCGAUUCCAGCCUGCUGAGAUUGGAAACAGCGGCACGAAAAGCCGGGCCAUUCUUCCUGUUGAUGCCGGUGACUCCUAACUUGCGCAAUCCAGUGAGCCUUUUGAUGUCCUGUAGAACGGCAUUUCCCCUUCCAACAUUCACUUCCCUCAAUGUGUGCAACUCUUUCAGUUUUCUGGUCCCCCAUGGCACCGUAACGCUUCUUUCUUCAUCAACCCCCAUCAUGACAGCAGGGAAUUUCACGCAGCAAGCGAAAGUGCAUGCAUCACGCCUUGUGAGGGCCUUAUGGAGAGGGCCAUGAAUGUCCCCAAGAAGUGGUACGCAACAUGUUGCACAUUGACCCGCCCCCCAAAGACACCUUCUCGUUAAACUGUCCUUUGCCUCUGUUACAUAAUCUGUUCUCCGACCAGCGUGGAUGUACUGUAGCUUCCAAAGCUUGAUGAUGGUUUUGGGCAGAGCCCUUACCCGUGUACCUCUGACGUCUAGCACUUGGAGCUGUCUCAGGUUGCCCAAUGAAUCUGGCAGUAGAUCAAUACGAAAACAUCCUCGUAGAGAAAGGUAUUUGAGUUGAAUAAGCUUCCAAAUAUGAUCAAGCUGAUGGUAUUUUAGAUCAUCUAUAUCUUCUAAGUCGAGCACUCGUAGAAGCCUCAUCUUGUCAGAAAUGUAAAAUGGUCUGAAUUCUCCGAACACGGUUAGUGAUCGUAAUCGUGACAGAUCAACUAUUCUCUCUAACUCACUCUGAUCUCCUUUCCAGUUGCUGCUUAUUGCAAGAUGACGAAUUGCGCCUAGGGUACUCAAGCCACAUCCUUCCUCCAGUCUAAAAACAAGGUUUUCCUCCAUUGACUUUGAGAUGGCAAUGUCACGGAUGAGAUCAUGGACUUUGCAAGAGUCAAUUGAUUUUCUACUGCGAACUGAUUGUUGAAAUGGUAAAAUCAUGCUUCUGUAUUUGAGUUGUGUAAAGUAAUUUUCAGCCAUUUCAUUGGCAGACUUGCCACGCCUCUCGUGUGAGUACCCUUCUGCUGUCCAUCGAUGCACCAAACGCCUCUGGCUAAUGAUGUGGUCCUCAGGAAAAAUGGACAGAUAUAAGAAACAUGACUUGAGUUCAUAGGGUAAACCAUCAUAACUUGUCUGAAGGACGGUUCUUAUCAUCCCAAGCUCUGGAUUCAUCUCUAACUCAGCACUGAUAUUUUCAUUCAACUUUCUCCACUCAGCUCUAGUCUUUGGCCGGCUUGCCAAGUAGCCACCUAUUGUAACUAUUGCAAGGGGAAGUCCACCACACUUCUUUAGGAUUUUUUUUGUUUCUUCAAACAACUCAGGAUUCUUCUUAAUCAAAUCUGUUGCCUUCACAAGGGGAAGUCCACCAUACUUCUUCAAGUUUUGGUUUGCUUCUUCAACGAACUCUGGAUUCUGCUUAACAAAAUCUGCAGCCUUCCCAAAUACCUAAUUUUAAUGCAAUUUAAGUAUUUUAGUACUCUAAUCCAGAAAAUAAAUAAUUGUGCAUUACUUGUUGAUAUUUUGUUUGCUAGUGAUAGGCGCACGAUUGGUUGUGCACAGUGAUAAACACAUAUUGAAACAACAGUUUUCGUGUGAAACUUGGUGAUAUAUAAAUUUUUUUUGUAAGUUUGGCUGAAACUUGUCCAUUAUUCUUUUAUAAAAUAUUGCUGAAAAUUCCCACAACUUCACGAACUUUCUUGGGAGUUGCCUUUCAUAAAACGUGCCCAUUAUUCUUUUAAUUUUUUUCUGUAGUAGACCAUCUGUGAUGAGAGCUGUUAGUUUCCUUUAAUCUAACAUAUAUGAAUAUGAUGAUCUGAGGUAUACGAGAUCGGUUUACAGUAGAGUUGAAGCUAUGUUUUAAGGAAAUUUCCUAAAUACUAGGGAACUACUAAGUUUCACCUUAGUGUUUUAGAUGGCUUCAACACCAGAAUUUGGUCCCAGAGUUUUAUACCAACACUUAUGCUUUAGGGGUUAUAUGGAUAUAAGUUAAGAAAUUUAUAUGUUUUGAGGCCUCAAGAUGACAACUGACUUUUGUUUAUACCAUAUAAUUAUAAUCAGUUUAAUUUUGAAUUAGGGCUACUCUACCCAUAAGUUACAUUCGCGUUUUUUUAUAAUUUUCAAGUAAUAAGAGUGUAAUAAAAAUUCAACUAUUAGAUACCUGAAUAUAACACUUGAUCCUUUUGUUAGUAUGAAGUUAGAUCUAAGUUGAGUUAAUAUCUUGAAAUUGGAUAGCUGAAAAUAUAGUCCUAGUCCUAAUAGUAAGGAUAAAAAAUGCUUGAGUGACAUAUAUAUAGUCCUAGUCGUAAUAUUAAGGAUAAAAAAUAUACAAGGACAUUCACUCAAAGUGAAAUAUGACACACCACGUAGCAACAACUCAAAACAAAUGUAGGCUGCGCUACUUGAAAAUAAUUUAAUAUACAUAUGACAUCAUGUUCUUCUCAAAUUGUUAUUAUGCUAGAUUCAAAAAAUUUUAACCAUUGUAAAAAUCCCCAAGUUAUUAACAUUGCUGCAAAGACCCAUAGAAAUUUAAUACUUUAGCAACCAAAUGAAGCAAUGAAUACUACUACACGAUCCGUGGAUGUUUUCAGUGUUUUAGUUGGUGGGGGUAAUUAAUAGUUUUUAAAUAAUAUUAUCUUCAUAGUCAAUUGUAAAUACUUUUCAUUAAUGAAACAAACAAAAAAUAAAAAAGAUAGUUGACAGUGCUAUUGGAAACUCCUAAUAUUGGAAAAGUCACUUAAUAUAAUGACAAAAGUACCUUCCCUUAAGAUCCUAACAUAAAUGAGAACUAUUUUGUUGUUUCACAUGGAUAAAUGACUAUGAAAGGGAAUUAAACAAAUAAGGACAAAAGAAAUUAAAGCAUUCUCUACCGUGUUCAACAAGAGGACAAAACACAUUUUUGCUGUGUUCUGGUGGUGUUUGUGGUCUUGUUUUCUAAAAGGGAGAAUGUGCAUCAUUGAUAUACUGGGAGGUCAAAAUUACGUUAUAUCUGAAUCAUGGAUGUAUAGGUGAUUAGCGGCAAUAAUUGGGAUGGCAACAGCCUGUUGAAUAUCAAUGUAUUGAUCAUCUUGGUUCAGUUGUUCAAAUGAUAAACAAAUGUCAAACAAUUUGCAUGUUCCCAUAUGUUCCCUGUUGUUGACAGGACCAUCUUUAAUCUCUACGAAAUGCUAGACUGUUGUAGUAAUAAUGCUAUUUAAAAUCAAGCAAAAGUGACAAGGUUUCUAUUAUAUUACCUUUAAGCUGAAGAGGUUAAGUGCGUCCUCUUCUUUUAGAACUUCAAGGUUGUGUAUUAUUCCAUAUUUCCUGGAACAAUGUUUUGCAAUGCUUUCCUCCCUUGUAGUCACAAUUAUUCGGGAUGUUUUUUCCAUCCAAGAAAACCCUUGUAUUAUAUGGUCCCAUUCUUCAAUGGAUGAUAGAUCGUCCAGAACAAUCAAGCAGCUCUUCUUUUCUAAAAGCCUUUUCAACUCUUUAGUCAAGGCUUCAACCUCCAUCAUUGCUAAUGAUUCGGUCCUUUUGGGUCUAUUGUUCAACAGUUCUUCCUUCUUAGAAGACUCUUCUUGUAAUCGCCCGACUAAACUUCUAAGUAGAUCUGCAGGAUUGAAAGGACGCAUGAUUGUGACAAAAGCAUGCUUCUCAAACAUGUCACUUAACUUUGGGCUUUGAUAAAUGCCAUUGGCUAGAGUGGUUUUUCCAAGACCACCCAUUCCCCAAACAGAGAUCACCUGACUCUGUUGGCUAGCCUUGUUUGAGAUUAAUCCUAUAAUUUUGAAUAUUUCUUUCUCUCGACCAAUCAGUUGAGAUUCCUCCAAAGAACCAACACCCGUUCUGAUGCGAGUGAGGCUCUUUUUGUCCACCUUCGUUUCAUCAACAUCCUUACACUGAUUCUCUGUUAUCUCACUAGGGGCCACUGUUUGGGCAUUUGUACUGGUAGUGGCCACAUCUGAGUUAGAUACUAGAUCCAUAGAAACCAUUUCAUUUUGAGAACCCUGAACAAACAGAAAGUACAAUUAUUGGAAGCAACCUUUAAACUUCAUCUUCUUUUUAUUUUUUAAGGUUAUGUGUACCUAUAACAAAAGUACUAUAUAACCUUUUAUGUAAUCAUGCAGUGAGUGACUAUUGGUCAUAAAUCAAUUUAACAAGGUAUGAAAAUUACAGAUAACAAAAAUCUGGCCUCGCUGCGGUGCUUAAGUUUUUAAUAUCUAUAAGCCGAAGUCCUAACAUAAAUGACUAAGGUCAUAGUUGAAGACAUCAGGGGUAAAGGGUAAUGGUUUCAAAUGAUCCACCUCCAUCUGAAAUCAUAAAACCCAUCCAGUUAUUACUCAGUAAUAUGUAGUUUAAACGACGCUCCCUAUUGAUAGAAAUAUCUUGGUGUCCUCCUAUCUAAAUAUUUAAGAGUUUAGUGGCUGUGUUUAUAUUAGCUGUUGAAGAAGCCGUAAAUUAUAACUUCUUCAUCUAAUAUUCAACGAUGAAUCCCAAGUUAUGUUUAUCCUCCCCUCAAGAGAUGCUGCGAUCAACAUAGACUACAGCAAUGAACAGAUUCAGUAUCUUUCCCCUUCAUAUAGAUUUUCAGUUAGCAAAUGCAGUGAUUUCACAAUUUUUCUAGUAUAUCCAUUCAUUAAAUCUGCUGGAAUAUCCAUCUAAGAUUUAACAAGGUAUUAUUUUUCACAUUGACAGUGGGAUGUUGCUUUUCAAGCACAGAUGGGACAAUUGCUUUCGAGAUUUAUAUAAUUAAAAUAAAGCUUCAAAAUUUACAGUUAAGCAAGGAAGCUUAUAUUCCCUCCGUUUCAAAAUUUACAGUUAAGCAAGGAAGCUUAUAUUGCUUUAGAGAUUUUUGCUAUGCACCUAAAGGGUUAUGCCUAGAUACAUACCAAACUCUAUGUAUUUAUAAAAGCCAAAACGACCUAUAAUUUGAAACAGAGGAAGUACUUCAUUACACUGCAACUGCUUAAAUGCUGUUGGAAAAUAAUAUAAUCCUUGAUACGUGGAUAACUGAACCAGAAUAACGAUGUCACAGAAUGUUACUAAAAAUAAAAAUAUAAGUAUUACCUUGUCAUAGAAUGCAUAAAGCGUGUGAUCAGCAGACAAUUGCUUUAGCUCUGAGGCUUGGCUAUCUUGCCCUGCACAUAAGCUUGCAACUUCAACUUGUGUUGUUGACACUAUGAUUCGGCUUCCUUUGUUGUUGUUUGGCAGGCAUUUUUCGAUCUGGUCCCACUCUUCAAUGGUGCAGAGGUCAGUAAGUACAAUGAGAAACCUCUUCUCCUUCACAUAUCCAUCGAACUCCUGAACUAAAUUGCGCGCGGUUUUCUCUAUGUCCAAUAUAUCUUUAAAUCCUUCCAAUGCAAGAAAUUGGUUCACUAAGCUCUGGACAAAGCCUUUUGAACUGAAUGGAUGAGUCACCCUCACCCAUGCUCGGCUGGGAAAUUUGCUUUGGGUGUCUGGAUUCUUGUAAGCCGCCCUGAUGAUGGACGUUUGGCCGAUAUCUCCACCUGUUCCCCACACCGCAAUGACUCUAAGGUCAUCACCCUCCUUGUUGAUCAGUUGGACGAGAUCCACUCUCUGACUCUCCUCCUUUGCGGCACGCCUUGCAUCAUCAACACCGAAUAUGGCUGCAGCAAUGAUGCUUGAUUGCUCAGUGGCAGCUGUGGCCUUGGAUCCGGAGCCCUUGAUGAGGCGGUACCGAACAUUCCUCUGGCUCACAUCCUCAACCUUGGCCCUGAGCUCCUUCAUCUUCUUGGCCACACGGCGCCGCUCGAGCAGCGUGCGAGGGAAUCGCCACCAAGAUGGCCUCUCCACACGGACAGCAAAAUCUUGGAGACUGUCCUCGACGUCAUAGGCCGUGUCACGGACCUGCUUCACCCAGGUCUUCACCACCUUGUUGUCGCCUCGCUCCUCGUGUGCCUCCAUCAGGAAAGACUGCAUCAUCUCAAGCUCAUCCGAGACGAACGCAUGAUCUCGCUGGAUACCGAGCUGCAAGGCUACCUCCUCUGCGAAGGCAGAUUUCGCGUAGCCGACCGCUCCAUUCAGCACGGACUUGCCCACACUCAGCGCCGUCGCCUCCAUCGUUCUGCUGUGUUUCUCCGUGGAUCUAUACAAGGCUCAAAUUUAGAAGCUAAAACUCCGAGGCAGAAAAGGAUAGAUGGACAGGCGUUGAUGCCACCCAGUAAGAUGGCAAGUACCUGAAUUUUGGUGAACGCACAACCAAGGCAGGGGCAGAUCUAGAGGUAAAUAUGCUGCAAAAUACAUUCUUGCUGUAAUGACAAAUAAUACUCAACUGAACAGUACAAUCUGUGAGAAACUGAAGAUCUUUGAAAGUAUACCUUCUGUGGCCUAUGAGAUCUUGUGGCGUGGAAGUAAAUACAGCACUCUACUGCUUUGAUCCGGCGAGGCUCAAGGUCACGGGACGGCCCACACACGCACGCCCUGACGUGACCCGGCAAGCCAGCAAGGUUGAGGCCAAAUGGUGGAAGCGUGAUUCCAAGGCAGUAGGCACCGAGAUGGCGGUGCCGCCCUCGCCGACGAGCUAUGCGGCCACUACUCUUGCACCCGGUCGGCCUGUCGCCGCUCACACUCUGUGGUGUCUUGGUAGUCACCAGUCACUCCCUCGGGGUCAAAUUACUAUUUGUUUUAGCUAACGAAUAGUAAUUUGGGGUGGAGGGGGUAGAUUUUUUCAUUCAGUUACAUCCAAAGCGAUUGGGUAGCAACCAUAAUAUACUUAACCUACAUGGGGCGGUACAUUGGCAACAAUGAGAUACUUAACGAACCAACUACCCUAGUUCCUAACAUAAGCUGGUGAGGAGUCAAUGUGAUCCGCCAUAUUCUAUGUUCAACUUUAUCAGUAGGUGUAAGAACCAUAUUAUAUUUCAUUCAGUCCAUUCACGUCUUUUCGUUGGUUUGCCAAACAAAUCCCAAGAAAUACGAUCCAUAUGUCCUACCACCAAGAUCUCCAACACAUACAAUUUCUAAAAGAGAAAAGGUGCGUCGAUUAGGUUGAUCGGUGUAACCAUCCAGGCACAAAUUGACAAAAGUUCGAGGCCUUUCAUCAGCCCCCUUUUUUGUGCCCAACUGCCGGUCGCCAAAUGCCGAACACGUCAAGAAGACUCACCAAAUUUUGUGGUGGAUUUUCAGCGGCAAAGCUUCCUGUGAGAGGUACAUGAGGGAAAGCGACGUGAAUUCGUUGAACACUUCACGGGUGCUGAUGCUGUCUAUCGGAUGAGCAUGUGGAAUAAGAACAAAGUAGUGUGGAUAAGAGCUGAGGUGGUGAUAAGCUCUUGGCAUCUGCAUCUCAAGCACAAAAGUUUAGAUGAAACUUAGCUAAACAGGACCUUGAAAUGGAUGAUACUUGGUACCAUACUAUUUUGAAAUUCAGGAAAACAAGACGGAACGCUUUGCUGGACAUCUUCCGUACAACGCUUGUGUGCUCUUUGAGCCCCUCCAACGAAUCCGGUCAUGAGCACUACAAACAACUAGCGCGUAUAAUUGUGCUCCUUGAAAAUAGCUAGUUUAAGACCCCGUUUGGAUCAACUUCAGGCUUCCAAAAACUCUAGCCGACCUAAUUAAGUUUUGAUCUAGCUUUUACAACCUUACAAGCAAUCUUUCCUAAAAAUUUUCAGUACAUUUGUGCAUUAUGACUUUUAAAAGCUCUAGCUGAUCCAAAGAAGCCAGCUUGGUCUAGCUUUUAACAAUCCAUAAGUAGGCCGUACCUAAGAUUUAGAGGUCCUUGUGCUAAACAUAAAUUAGGCCCUUCAUUUACAAGUAUAAGUAAAUGAAGUGUAUUUUUUAUUUGAUUAUAUAACAUAUCAUGAUUAAGUGCUUGUUGUCCUGAUUAGUAGAACAGUAACAGAUGAGAGCGCAGGGAGGAAAAAUUGAAAAGUGGAAGUAUAAUUGACAGGAGGAUCUUGGAGGAAAAAAAAUAAACAAGGCUGUUUUGAGAAAAUGAAGCGGCGACCGUUGGAGAGCCGAUCUAGGAAAAAGCAGCAAAUUGUACUAGUUCCACCUUAUUUUGCUGGCUUAGUGAUAAAUACUAAUUAUCAAUAACCACUGGUAGAGAAUUGGCCUUUAGUCCCGGUUGGUAGGGUGCAUAUCUCCCGAAAAUCCAUCUGGGAUAAACCAACCGGGAUAAAAGGGGGGUCUUUAGUCCCGGGUCUUUUAACCGGGAGUAAAGGUCCACGCCAGGCGCGGGACAGGCCCUUUAGUCCCGGCUGGAUUCCAACCGGGACUAAAUGGCGCCCUGCAUGGCACUGCCUGGUGCCUGAAUUUUUCAUGCAUGCAUCACGUACGUAGUACCGCGGCCCUUUUGUUAACCUUUAGUAGUUGAGAUUUUUUUAGAACGAAAUCAACUAGUAUUUAAACGAAUAGGAUUUGUAAUUAUACAAUUACUAUAUAUAUACACAAUUCUUAUACACAAUUCAUAUACACAAUUCAACUAGCUUAGAACAAAUCGAUCAUAAUUAGCGCGUAUUAUAUAUACAAAUAAAUCAAAGUAUAUGUCUACAAUCUUCCCGUCGUGGUGUUGCUCAUCGGAGUGUCUAAUUGUCGUCCAUCAUAAUAAAAUUCUCCUUUUGGGAAUGUUCUAUCAAUUGAUCUCCACUGUGCCCCAUCUGCGGGGUGUCUCAGCAUCUCAUCUUCCUUACGGUCUUCUUUGUGCCAUCGCAUCAACUUAGCAUUCACCUUGUUCCUGAACAAACGCUUCAAGCGUGGUAUUAUAGGGAAAUACCACAUCACCUUCGCGGGAACUCUCUUCUUGGGAGACUACCCCUCGACAUCACCAGGAUCAUCUCGCCUGAUCUUAUACCAUAGGGCUUCGCAGACGGGACAAGCAUCCAAUUUCUCGUAUUCAUCACCACGAUAGAGGAUACAGUCAUUAGGGCAUGCGUGUAUCUUCUGAACAUCCAAUCCGAGAGGGCAAACAAUCUGUUUAGCUUCAUAUGUUGUGGACGGUAAUUCAUUAUUCUCGGGGAGAAUCUUCUUGACAAUGUUCAACAUCCCCUGAAAUGCCUUAUCGGACACACCAUUUUUUGCCUUCCAUUGCACAAAUUCUAGUGUCGUACCUAGUUUUUUAUGGCCCUGCUGACAACCUGGGUACAACAAUUUUUGGUGAUCAUCUAUCAUGCGCUGCAACUUUGCUGUUUCCUUCUCAGUUUCACAAUCUCUGUAUGCAUCUCGUAUCACCUGACCAAGGUCAUCAGUAGGGCCAUUUUCUGCAAACUUAUCUUCAUCAGCCUCGCCCAUUGUAGUACCUGCAAAAGCUUGGCCUGCAACCCAGUCUGGAAUGGUGUGUCAUCUUCCUCCUCCUCCUCGCCAUCUUCCAUUACGACCCCUAGUUCACCGUGCUUGGUCCAAAUCAAAUAGUUAGGCAUGAAACCGUAUUUAAACAAGUGGCUGUGAAUAGUCCCCCAGUAAUCCUUUGAAUACUCCUUCUUGUUAUUGCAUUGGAAGCAUGGACAACAUACGAACCUAUUCCCUGGCUUGUUCGCUUUGGCCACUUCGAGAAAAUAAUGCAAGCCAUCAAUAAACGCCUUGCUCCACCUAUCUGCAUUAUACAUCCAUUGCCGGUCCAUCUGCAUCGUAUUACGCAUAAAAAUGGAUUACACUUGACAAUGGAUUACGCGUGAAAAUCGAUUAAAGAUCCAAACAACAUGGUACAAUACAACAACAUGAAGAUCCAAAUACACAUAUUUAAAUUAAAGUUCCAAACAACAUGAUACAAUACAACAAGCCAUCCACUGGUUAUUAUCUAGGAGGACUUUAAGCAUCCUUGGACGGUGAAGACGAAGGCUCCGCUGACCCAACCUCAUCCUUAGGUUUAUUUGUGCCGCCUGAAACUGUAGUACUAAGUGGACGUGAAACACCCGGGACUGAGGGUGGAGCAUAACGACCACCAAAAGGAGGUUCCUGACCCGCGGCAACAGCUUCUUCAUGACGUUGCUGCAAAUAACAAAGCAUUGCUUUUUCCAGCGCGCUCUUUUUCUUCGGCUUAUGCUGAGGGUCAACUAUGAUUUUCCCCUUGCCGAAAUAGGAACCACGAUCGCCCCCACCAUCGCCACUUCCUCCAGUAGCAGAAGCCAUCUAUGUACAAAAAUUAUUACCUUAACACUGCAUAAGUUAUUGAACUUGAAGACCGUGAUCAUCUCGCGAGCAUGUCCUCAACUGGGCGGCACCGCACUUCGUCAUGAAAGAGGUUAGAUGCUACGGAAAAGGGGACACGGUCACGAUGUCCGUAUCCACUCUUUCUCGUAGAAUCGAACCUCCUUCUUGACAUACGUUGCUGCUUGGCGGAGAACAUCCUAUGCGAGAUGACCACGGUAUGCAAGUUCAACAAGUAUGGAUUUGAAAAACCUUAUUGAAUUUGAUAAGUUCAACAAGUAGCAGAAGUCAUCUAUGUACAAAAAUUGUUUCCUUACCACUGCAGAAGUUGUUGAACUUGAAGACCGUGAUCAUCUCGCGAGCAUGUUCUCAACUGGGCGGCACCGCACUUCGUCAUGAAAGAGGUUAGAUACUACGGAAAAGGGGACACGGUCAUGAUGUCCGUAUCCACUCUUUCUCGUAGAAUCGAACCUCCUUCUUCACAUAUGUUGCUGCUCGGCAGAGAACAUCAUCGCAGAGAUGAACACGGUAUGCAAGUUCAACAAGUAUGGAUUUGAAAAACCAUAUUGAAUUUGAUAACAUAAACCGUCUAGACAAGGUAGCAUCAUUCUUAAACCACUGCAAUAAUGCAUACUAUAUAUAUGACACAUCAAUCUCCCUCACAUUCUAGCUCAAAAUACCUCUCCAUUUUCUACUUCAUCAUCACAUUCUAGCAAAUAAUCUUUCCAUCUCCAAAGCAUAAAUCAAAGCAUAACACGAGGAUGAAGUAGCAAACCUUCACAACACUUGUAUUGGCCGAGUGAAAUUCCCACGAAAAUGAGGGAAAAAACUUCGGGCAGCACCUCCCUUGCUUCGGCACCACCGGAGAGUAGGUGAAGCUCAGCUCUCUCUGUCAAUGUGCUGGACUGGCUCGGGCUGGAGGAGGAAGAAAGUCCUCUGUCUUGGCCGUAUAUAAUGGGGAUGAGUUUUUAUCCCAGUUAAAAACUCCAACCGAGACAAAAAGGAACACCUUUUGUCCCGGUUGAAACUUUUUGUCCCGGUUGGAGGCUCCAACCGGGAUAAAAGGGAUAAAAUGGUGCCGCCACCGACGCCCCCCAGCUAGCCGUUGCAACCGGGACUAAAGGGGGGCCUUUCGUCCCGGUUGCAAUUACCAACCGGGACUAACUCUCCCCUCCAUUUUUGCCUACCGUGGCACACCCCCUUUUGUCCCGGGCCAACUUUAAACCGGGAUAAAAGGGGGCGCAUCGAAAGCCAAUUCUCUACUAGUGAACAAAAUUUGAUACCAUCAAUUCUUAAACCUGACCCGGUAAGAUCAAGUAAUUUAUUUGGUUGAAUUUUGAGUUUAAUUUGGCUAGAUCAAAUUCAAGUUAGAUAACUAAAAAAAAGUCAAGUUAGAAAAUAAUAGCGAUUGCAAGAUAUUGGACUUCUUUCUUAGUUCAAAAUUGGACCUAGUGAUUUCAUCUACACAGUAGAGUGUGUGGGUGGAUGCCUGGGUGGCUAGAUGAAAUCACUAGGCCCACAAACGAUAUGCUUGAGCCUCACUAGCGUCGAGCCUACCAUUCCAUUCAUCUUAUAAACUAGCUCACACUUCAUAAACUUUAGCUAACGUCAUGUCGAAAAUUUAGUAGCCUAAUCUUUCCAUCAUGAACCAAAAAAAUGCAAACCAUGAUAAUGUGCAAUUGUAUGCUAACAUCAAAAGGAAAUGAACUUUGGCCACUCAUUUAUAAACAAGUGUUUGGAUGGGACCUACAAAUAAUAUCAUGGAAUUCUCGUCAUGUACAAACAUCUUCGUAAUAACAUAAGAAAGUAAGUAGAAAUAGGUUGAACGGUUCAUUUUUAACCACCCACUAGGUACCCCUUGCGGCUGGCAGCUGCUGCAAGGCAGCCCCGCUGAUCUUCAGCCUGGUAGGUGUGCUCGAACCUGCUGCAACCGCAAAGUAUAUAAAGAGGUUACAGAUCAGAGUCGUCCGAAAUGGCAAAAGUGCAAAAGAUAUGUCUUUUACGGUAUACAAUACUAACUUAUACUACUGUUCGAAAAGAACUCGUAUAUAAGGAUCCGAUGGUUGAGAUUAAUUGUAUACUACUAAAACCUUAAGCUAGGUAGUAUGCAUGAGUGUAUGGGUAGUACAGGGUAGGUUAUCUUCUUUCCUUUUGCUCAUCGUCUCUUCAUUUCCAAUCGUUCGCACGCGCACUGGGCUGGUGGCGGCGAGUCCACAGCUGGAGGCAGCGAGGAAGAAGGAGGUCAGGUACGAGAAGAUCCGGACCAUCGAGAAGGGCCACCGGCGGCACUUCCACGACGACAUCACCGUCGUCAUGCUGUUCCUCGACAGGUGCAGGUCCGGACCGGAGGACAUCGACGGCAGCGCACGUCGACGUCUUCUCCUACAGCCCCGCCGGCGACCACGAGGACCCGACCAGACCCGUCCUGCGUUGAGGUUGAUCUCGGAUUCUCGGCUGGUGGUCCUCGUGCUAUCCAGAGAUUGAUGAACAUACUGUUCUUUCUUUCGGUGCUUGAUCCGAUCGCUCGCUCUCUAAACGAGAGGUACGCGUGAAUCGAGCCGUUUCCCGUUCAAGGAGAAUUUGCCUGCAAAGAAAUGCUAGUAUCGAAUCGAACAUACUGUGUGGUAAACGUACUGUAAACCUUCAUCAGUUCCUUCUUUCGUUUUAAGAGAAUGUGAAUGUUCUACUGCACUCCAACGAUCCUGCUUUCUAGUAUCUGUUCUUCCCGGUGUUCUUCAUAGCCGCCGGCGGCGAGCUCCUUCAGACGAGUGAGCAGCGAAUAUUAUAUGUCGUGCUACCCAUACCAAAAAACAGCCUGCACUCUACAUUACAACCAGGUGGUAGUAUUGUCAAACGUCAGAAUUGGUUCGUUUCUAUUCCGAGCAAGCUGUUCCUGGAUUUUCUUCUUCAGUUCACCUUUCUUGCGCCUUUCUUCCUGUCUUACUUCCUCUAUCUUUUCCCUGGUCUCAGGAUCUUUAGCAGCUCCUAUCCUUCUAUAAUCCCAGUAAAUGUGAACACUGAGCUGGACCUCGUUGAUGCUUUGGAGAAUAUCUAGCCCAGAAAAUCCAAUCUCAUUAUUUACUACCCCUGUGACCUGCAGCCGCUCAAGUUUGGGCAUUAUUCCUUCUUCAAACUUUACCGAUUUGAUGUACUGUAUGUUUGCAAGCAUGAGCACCCUGAGGCUUCCGAAAGCUCUUCCAGUCUGCUGAGAUCGGAAACGAAGUUCUUCACCCUGAAACGAUUGACGAGACAAGCUUAGAAUUUCCAGCUUUGACAGUUUCCCAAGGAAUUCCAUAGCAUCAUCGUGCUCCAAUAGCCUGGUGCUCACUAGUUUCAACUUCACAAGAUGCGGGAGCUGCUUGAUCCAUUGCGGCAACGUUUCCAUAUUGCCAUAGAGCUUGAGGCUCUGCAGGUUUUCUGGAGGCGGGGAUAUAGCAUCCAAGCAGCCAUGCAAACCUGGCUUCCCUGACGAACUCACAGAUAGUGAUUCCAGCCUGCUGAGCUUGGAAAUGGCAGCGCGAAAAGCUGGGCCAUUCUUCCUGUUGAUGCCGGUGACUCCUAACUUGCGCAAUCCCGUGAGCAUUUUGAUGUCCUGUAGAACAGCAUUUCCCCUUCCGACAUUCACUUCCCGCAAUGUGUGCAACUCUUUCAGUUUUCUUGUCCCCCUUGGCACUAUAGCGCCUCUUUCUUCAUCAACUCCUGUCAUGACAGCAGGGAAUUUCACGCAGCAAGCGAAAGUGCAUGCAUCACGCCUUGUAAGGGCCUUAUGGAAAGGGCCAUCAAUGUCCCGAAGAAGAGGUACGCAACAUGUUGCACAUUGACCCGCCCCCCAAAGACACCUUCUCGUUAAACUGUCCUUUGCCUCUGUUACAUACUCUGUUCUCCGACCAGCGUGGAUGUACUGUAGCUUCCGAAGCUUGAUGAUGGUUUUGGGCAGAGCCAUUACCCAUGUACCUCUGACGUCUAGCACUUGGAGCUGUCUCAGGUUGCCCAAUAAAUCUGGUAGUAGAUCAAUACCACUACAUCCUCGUAGAGAAAGGUAUUUUAGGUGAACAAGCUUCCAAAUAUGAUGAAGCUUAUGGUAUUUUAGAUCAUCUAUAUCUUCUAAGUCGAGCACUCGUAGAAGCCUCAUCUCGUCAGAAAUGUAAAAUGGUCUGAAUUCUCCGAACACGGUUAAUGAUCGUAAUCGUGACAGAUUAACUAUUCUCUCUAACUCACUCUGAUCUCCUUUCCAAUUGCUGCUUAUUGCAAGAUGACGAAUUGCGCCAUGGGUACUCAAGCCACAUCCUUCCUCCAGUCUAAAAACAAGGUUUUCCUCCAUUGACUUUGAGAUGGCAAUGUUACGGAUGAGAUCAUGGACUUUGCAAGGGUCAAUUGAUUUUCUACUGUGAACUGAUUGUUGAAAUGGUAAAAUCAUGCUUCUGUAUUUGAGUUGUGUAAAGUAAUUUUCAGCCAUUUCAUUGGCAGACUUACCACGCCUCUCGUGUGAGUACCCUUCUACUGUCCAUCGAUGCACCAAACGUCUCUGGCUAAUGAUGUGGUCCUUAGGAAAAAUGGAUAGAUAUAAGAAACAUGACUUGAGUUCAUAGGGUAAACCAUCAUAACUUGUCUGAAGGACGGUUCUUAUCAUCCCAAGCUCUGGAUUCAUCUCUAACUCAGCACUAAUAUUUUCAUUCAACUUUCUCCACUCAGCUCUAGUCUUUGGCCGGCUUGCCAAGUAGCCACCUAUUGUAACUAUUGCAAGGGUAAGUCCACCACACUUUUUUAUGAUUUUUUUUGUUUCUUCAAACAACUCCGGAUUCUUCUUAAUCAAAUCUGUUGCCUUCACAUGGGGAAGUCCACCAUACUUCUUCGAGUUUUGGUUUGCUUCUUCAACAAACUCUGGAUUUUGCUUAACAAAAUCUGCAGCCUUCCCAAAUACCUGAUUUUAAUGCAAUUUAAGUAUUUUAGUACUCCAAUCCAAAAAAUUACAUAAUUGUGCAUUACUUGUUGAUAUUUUGUUUGCUAGUGAUAGGCGCACAAUUGGUUGUGCACAGUGAUAAACACAUAUUGAAACAAUAGUUUUCCUGUGAAACUUGGUGAUAUAUAAUUUUUUUUGUAAGUUUGGCUGAAACUUGUCCAUUAUUCUUUUAUAAAAUAUUGCUGAAACAAAUAAGGACAAAAUAAAUUAAAGCAUUCUCUACUGUGUUCAACAAGAGGACAAAACACAUUUUUGCUAUUGGAAACUCCUAAUUUUGGAAAAGUCACCUAAUAAAAUGACAAAAGUACCUUCCCUUAAGAUCCUCAGAAAAAUGAGAACUAUUUUGUUGUUUCACAUGGCUAAAUGAGUAUGAAAGGGAAUUAAACAAAUAAGGACAAAAGAAAUUAAAGCAUUCUCUACUGUGUUCAACAAGAGGACAAAACACAUUUUUGCUAUGUUCUUUUGGUGUUUGUGGUCUUGUGUUUUCUAAAACGGAGAACGGGCAUCAUUGAUAUACUGGGAGGCAAAAAUUACGUUAUAUCUGAAUCAUGGAUGUAUAGGUCAAUAGCGGCAAUAAUUGGGAUGGCAACAGCCUGUUGAAUAUCAAUCUAUGUAUGGAUCAUCUUGGUUCAGUUGUUCAAAUGAUAAACAAAUGUCAAACAAUUUGCAUGUUCCCAUCUGUUCCCUGUUGUCGACAGGACCAUCUUUAAUCUCUACAAAAUGCUAGACUGUUGUAGUAAUAAUGCUAUUAAAAAUCAAGCAAGUGACAAGGUUUCUAUUAUAUUACCUUUAAGCUGAAGAGGUUAAGUGCAUCCUCUUCUUUUAGAACUUCAAGGUUGUGUACUAUUCCAUAUUUCCUGGAACAAUGCUUUGCAAUGCUUUCCUCCCUUGUAGUCACAAUUAUUCGGGUUGUUUUUUCCAUCUAAGAAAACCCUUGUAUUAUAUGGUCCCAUUCUUCAAUGGAUGACAGAUCGUCCAGAACAAUCAAGCAGCUCUUCUUUUCUAAAAUCCUUUUCAACUCUUUAGUCAAGGCUUUAACCUCCAUCAUUGCUAAUGAUUCGGUCUCGCUGGGUCUAUUGUUCAACAGUUCUUCCUUCUUAGAAGACUCUUCCUGUAAUCGUCCGACUAAACUUCUAAGUCUAAGUAGAUCUGCAGGAUUGAAAGGACGCAUGAUUGUGACAAAAGCAUGCUUCUCAAACAUGUCACUUAACUUUGGGCUUUGAUAAAUGCCAUUGGCUAGAGUGGUUUUUCCAAGACCACCCAUUCCCCAAAUAGAGAUCACCUGACUCUGUUGGCUAGCCUUGUUUGAGAUUAAUCCUAUAAUUUUGGAUAUUUCUUUCUCUCGCCCAAUAAGUUCAGAUUCCUCCAAAGAACCAACACCUGUUCUGAUGCGAGUGAGGCUCUUUUUGUCCACCUUCGUUUCCUCAACAUCCUUACACUGAUCAUCUGUUAUCUCACUAGUGGCCACUAUUUGAGCAUUUGUACUGGUAGUGGCCACAUCUGAGCUAGAUACUGGAUUCACGGAAACCAUUUCCUUUUGAGAACCCUGAACAAACAGAAAGUACAAUUAUUGGAAGCAACCUUUGAACUUCUUCUUCUUCUUGUUAUUUUUUUAAGGUUAUGUACCUAUAACCAAAGUACUAUAUAACCUUUUAUGUAAUCGUGCAGUCAGUGACUUUUGGUCAUAAAUCAAUUUAACAAGGUAUGAAAAUUACAGAUAACAGAUAUCUGACCUCGCUGCAGUGCUUAAGUUUUUAAUAUUUAUAAGCCGAAGUCCUAACAUAAGGUCAUAGUUGAAGACAUCAGGGGUAAAGGGUUAUGGUUUCAAAUGAUCCACCUCCCUCUGAAAUCCUAAAACCCACCCAGUUAUUACUCAGUAAUCUGUAGUUUAAAUGAUGCUCCCUAUUGAUAGAAAUAUCUUGGUGUCCUCCUAUCUAAAUUUUUAAGAGUUUAGUAGCUGUGUUUAUAUUAGCUGUUGAAGAAGCUGUAAAUUAUAAUUUCUUAUCUAAAAUUCAACGACGAAUCCCAAGUUAUGUUUAUCCUCCCCUCAAGAGAUGCUGCGAUCAACAUAGACUACAGCAAUGCACGGAUUCAGUAUCUUUCCCCUUCAUAUAGGUUUUCAGUUAGCAAAUGCAGGGAUUUCACAAUUUUUCUAGUAUAUCCAUUCAUUAAAUCUGCUGGAAUAUCCUGUAGGAUUUAACAAGGUAUUAUUUUUCACAUUGACAUUGGGAGAUUGCUUUCCAAGAACAGAUGGGACAAUUGCUUUAGAGAUUUAUGUAACUAAAAUAAAGCUUCAAAAUUUAUAGUUAAGCAAGGAGGCUUAUACUCCCUCCGUUUCAAAUUGUAGGUCGUUUUGGCUUUUUUAGAUACAUGAUUUUUGCUAUGCACCUCUAGAUACAUAGCAAAAUCUAUGUAUUUAUAAAAGCCAAAACGACCUAUAAUUUGAAAUAGAGGAAGUAUUUCAUUACACUGUAAAUUUGCAUAUUAAUGUGUUAGCCAAUCUAGUACCUUUAGCAAUUCCCUUUUCAGGCAAUUUCUUAAAUGCUAUUGGAAAAUAAUAUAAUCCUUGAUACGCCGAUAACUGAACUAGAAUAAUGUUGUCAUAGAAUGCUACUAAAAAUAAAAAUAAAAGUAUUACCUUGUCAUAGAAUGCAUAAAGCGUGUGAUCAGCAGACAGCUGCUUUAGCUCCGAGGCUUGGCUAUCUUGCCCUGCACAUAAGCUUGCAACUUCAACUUGUGUUGUUGACACUAUGAUUCGGCUUCCUUUGUUGUUGUUUGGCAGGCAUUUUUCGAUCUGGUCCCACUCUUCAAUGGUGCAGAGGUCAGUAAGCACAAUGAGAAACCUCUUCUCCUUCACAUAUCCAUCGAACUCCUGAACUAAAUCGUGCGCGGUCUUCUCUGUGUCUAAUAUAUCUUUAAAUCCUUCCACUGCAAGAAAUUGGUUCACUAAGCUCCGGACAAAGCCUUCUGAACUGAAUGGAUGAGUCACCCUCACCCAUGCUCGGCUGGGAAAUUUUCUUUGGGUGUCUGGAUUCUUGUAAGCCGCCCUGAUGAUGGAUGUUUGGCCGAUAUCACCACCUGUUCCCCACACCGCAAUGACUCUAAGGUCAUCAUCCUCCUUGUUGAUCAGUUGGACGAGAUCCACUCUCUGAUUCUCCUUUGCGGCACGCCUUGCAUCAUCAACACCGAAUAUGGCUGCAGCAAUGAUGCUUGAUUGCACAGUGGCAGCUGUGGCCUUGGAUCCAGAGCCCUUGAUGAGGCGGUACCGCACAUUCCUCUGGCUCACAUCCUCAACCUUGGCCCUGAGCUCCUUCAUCUUCUUGGCCACACGGCGCCGCUCGAGCAGCGUGCGAGGGAAUCGCCACCAAGAUGGCCUCUCCACACGGACAGCAAAAUCUUGGAGACUGUCCUCAACGUCAUAGGCCGUGUCACGGACCUGCUUCACCCAGAUCUUCACCACUUUGUUGUCGUCUCGCUCCUCGUGUGCCUCCAUCAUGAAAGACUGCAUCAUCUCAAGCUCAUCCGAGACGAACGCAUGAUCACGCUGGAUACCGAGCUGCAAGGCUACCUCCUCUGCGAAGGCAGAUUUCGCGUAGCCGAGUGCUCCAUUCAGCACGGACUUGCCCACACUCAGCGCCGUCGCCUCCAUCGUUCUGCUGUGUUUCUCCGUAGAUCUAUACAAGGCUCAAAUUUAGAAGCUAAUGGUGUGUUUGGUUGGUUGUAUCAUUUGAUUCAUAUAUGAAAUGAUUUAAAAUAAUAAUGAUCAUUUUGUUUGGUUGGGUGAAUUGGACCAACUCAUCCAGGAUGAGGCUAUCCCACUUAAUACAUUAUUCUACUAAUUAGAGUGAACCAUAUGGUACAAGCAAAUUGGUUGAACCACCCCAUCCAGGAUUCAUCCAUGCAUGCAUCAUGUAAUGCAUGCAACCAAACACACCCUAAAACUCCGAGGCAGAAAAGGAUAGAUGGACAGGCGUUGACCCAGCAAGAUGGCAAGUACCUGAAUUUUGGUGAACGCACAACCAAGGCAGGGGCAGAUCUAGGGAACGCACACCGGGUGAUCAACAGCACUCACAAGGUAAAUAUGCUGCAAAAUACAUUCUUGCUGUAAAUACAAAUAAUACAAUCUGUGAGAAACUGAAGAUCUUUGAAAGUAUAUACCUUCUGUGGCCUAUGAGAUCUUGUGGCGUGGAAGUAAAUACAGCACUCUACUGCUUUGAUCCGGCGAGCUGGCUCAAGCUCACACGCCCUGACGUGACGCGGCAUGCCAGCAAGGUUGAGGCCAAAUGGUGUGGAUGCGUGAUUCCAAGGCAGUAGGCACCGAGAUGGCGGCGCCGCCCUCGCCGACGAGCUACGCGGCCACUACUCUUGCUGUCUUGCACCCGGUCGGCCUGUCGCCGCUCACACUCUGUGGUGGCUUGGUAGUCACCAGUUACUCCUCAGGAGUACCCCAUGCUGGCUGGGAGCAGUGGACUCUAGAUACCUCUAAUGGACUUUGCAGGGUGCUUAAAUGGUCAGUAGGGAUUUUGCACACAAGCACUUGUUGGGGUCGGUUAGCAGCCGCCUGCCGAUUUCCGCCUGCCAAAGGAAACUCACCAUCUCUCUUUUUUUUAAAAAAAAACGGUCUUUGAAACAAACCGCUUUAUUAUUGCCCUAGGGACAGAUGCAUCACAGCAUAAGAUGCAUGAGCAAAUAAUUAAGUACUCCCUCGGGAGUAGAUUUUUUCAAUCAGUUAGAUCCAAAGCGAUUGAUUAGCAGAUGUCACUAUGUCACAUGGGGCGGUACACUGGCAACAAUAAGAUACUUAAAGAGCUAACUGGCCGACGAUGCUACCGAAGACUUAACUAAUUAGUACUAGUUUUUGUUGGACCAACCUCUACAUACACGUAACACAACUGUCCUAGAAAUAUAGUUGCGCACAAGAUAAAAUUGCAUAACCCAAGCACCUUCUACAAAGGUUGAAAUGUUCGCUAUACAAACCAUGGUCCAUGGCAUACAAGCUGAGUAAACUCCAAAAGGGUUCUGCAUACAACCUAAAACAAUCUUACAACAAAGAAACAGACAAACCCAAUCACUACCGGAAACAGUUAUUUUGCCGAGUGCCCCAGGCACUCGGCGAAGGCCCAAUUACACUCGGCAAAUGGUUUGCUGAGUGUAACACUCGGCGAAGUCUAGUCGGCAAAGUUUUCCUCGGCAAACAGGCUGUUUGCCGAGUGUCGAUCGUCGGGCACUCGGCAAACCUUUUGCCGAGUGCCAAAAUACACUCGGCAAAAUUAAACACUCGGCACAAAGACGUUAACGGUCUGUCACGGCAACGGAGGAUUUGCCGAGUGCCUGAUGGCCGACACUCGGCGAAUCCGUAAAGUGUGCCGAGUGUAUUCUUAAGGACACUCGGCGAAGAUUUAUCAGUGUGCCGAGUGUACUCCGGAGAACACUCGGCGAAAAUGCAUGGAUCGCCGAGUGCCUGCCACGUGGCACUCGGCGAAGAAGCCCCACCCGCCGUUUUUAUUUGACCAUUUGCCGAGUGUCGGCGGGCAGGUACUCGGCAAAGGUCUAACGGCCGGCCCAACCCGGUAACGGACGACGCACGUGCGAUGCACGCGCUGUUGAUUUACCGAGUGUGGCUUAUUUGCCGAGUGUCCAGGAGUCGUUUGCCGAGUGCCUUUUUUUUUGCACUCAGCAAACCUCCUAUUUGCCGAGUGUAUUAUGUUCGCCGAGUGCCUCGUUGUAUACACUCAGCAAAGACGGUGUUUGCCGAGUGCCGAAAAAAUGCACUCGGCACACUUUUUACACUCGGCGAAUUUACUGUUUCCGGUAGUGAAUGGACAAUAUCCAUGUAUACUUCGUUUCAGAAAGGUGUUCCGUUUGCAUUAUGCUUUAGUGUAGCACCAGGCUAAAAUGCAGGACCGUCUUCUCGAGCUCAUCACUGAUGAAUGCCUGGUCUCGCUGGACACCAAGCUGCAACCUGCAAGGCCACCUCCUCUGCCAAGGAAGAUUUCGCGUAGCCAAGUGAUGCUCCAUUCAGCACAUACUUGCCCACACUCAGUGCCGUCGCCUCCAUAGCUCUGCAAGGUGUGGUUCUCCAUGUUUUUUUAGAUUAGGGAAAUAUCCGGUCUUGCGAAUGUCUACGACCACAUGAAACAAAAUGCAGUUCUUAGACCACCAUCUGCCACAAGGCCUUACACAAAGUUUCAUCCAAACAGAAGAUGACAGACACUAGGCCUCAAUCCUAUUCCUGGAACUCCACCCAAACUUGCUGAAGAUUUCCAUGAUAGCGAUCUCCAAAUUGCGACAGCUUUGUUUCAAGGUGACCUUCUCUUCCUCAUUAGAUAGCAGCGACCACCAUCUUAUUCAGUAUAUCCCCUGAAGAUUAUUUGCAUAAGAGAGUUAGGCUUGGAUCUUUUGAGCACUACAUCAUUCCUACUUAACCAAAUAGCCCAACAAAGACCCGAUGCACCCUGAUUUCUAAGCUUUACAGAAAUAGUUUCUAAGCCAAGAACCAAACAAAUUCAAUACAUUGGUAGGCGGUUGAAUAUCAAAUGUGAUAUAAACAACAGUCCAAAUUGAUCUGGCCAAAUGACAGUCAAAAAAUAAAUGUUGAAUCGUCUCACUAGAGCUACAGAAGCAACACCUAGUUCUGCCUUGCCAAUUUCUCUUUACCAAGUUGUGGCAGACCUGAUGCUCACCUCACACAUCUGGCCUGAUGACUCUACACAGUGACUGAGCUGCCGCCACAGCUGCACUCUUGGCGUAUGGUCCUAGAACGAAUCCAGAUCAAGUGACUGUGCCCAUGUGAAGCACACUCAACGUAUCGACAGCUCAAAGUGUAACAGAGAGAGGAGCUGGUUUGGACGGAUCGAUGUCCUAUAGCCUUGCGGUGGUUGGGAGCAAAGUUUCCCUUCCCCCGCAUGCAUGCACUUGAAUCCAUUAUUUUGCAAUUCACCAAGCCAAAGAUGCCCAAAGAGCUCAGUGAGGCGUUCGAUGUAGGCAAAGUACUCACACACUCUGGUGAUAAUCAUACUGCUUAUUUGAUUGAUGGUGGCCUGAGUGCUGAGUAGCCUUUGGUCAGGCUGUAAAGGUACAGUAGCAUUUAUUUUAUGUUGUGGAGUGUACUAGUUGUUGAGACGGGCUGUAAAGAUACACCAUGUUUGAUUACAUGCAAAAAAAAAUUUGAGAAGGUUACAGCCUGCUUUGGACAUGGUAACACUGCAACCACUCCUCCAAGUUCCCUUUCUUCUUUUUUUAUUCUACUACACGGAGAUCGGCGCAACACCAAGCAUGAGUAAAGAUGCACGAUCGCAGAAAGCUCCUCGUAGUCAAGUUCUAAUCCUUCAAGAAUGAAAGCAAGCAACAACAGCUUGAAACUGGCUCAGCAUUUUGGACUACCAAACUCUGAACAAUUAGGUUGAUCGGUUUAACCAUCCAGGCACAAAUUGAUAAAAGUUCGAGACCUUUCAUCAGCCCCCCUUUUUUUGCCCAACAGCCGAUCGCCAAAUGCCGAAAAUGUCAAGAAGACUCACCAAAUUUUGUGGUGGAUUUUCAGCGGCAAAGCUUCCUUGAGAGGUACAUGAGGGAAAGCGACGUGAAUUCGUUGAACACUUCACCGGUAUGAUGAUGUCUAUCGGAUGAGCAGGUGGAAUGAGAACAAAGUAGUGUGGAUAAGAGCUGAGGUGGUGAUAAGCUCUUGGCAUCUGCUUCUCAAGCACAAAAGUUUAGAUGAAACUUAGCUAAACAGGACCUUGAAAUGGAUGAUACUUGGUACCAUACUAUUUUGAAAUUCAGGAAAACAAGACGGAACGCUUUGCUGGACAUCUUCCGUACAACGCUUGUGUGCUCUUUGAGCCCCUCCAACGAAUCCGAUCAUGAGCACUACAAACAACUAGCGCGUAUAAUUGUGCUCCUUGAAAAUAGCUAGUUUAAGACCCCGUUUGGAUCAACUUCAGGCUUCCAAAAACUCUAGCCGACCUAAUUAAGUUUUGAUCUAGCUUUUACAAUCUUACAAGCAAUCUUUCCUAAAACUUUUCAGUACAUUUGUGCAUUAUGACUUUUAAAAGCUUUAGCUGAUCCAAAGAAGCCAGCUUGGUCUAGUUUUUAACAAUCCAUAAGUAGGGCCGUACCUAAGAUUUAGAGGUCCUGGUGCUAAACAUAAAUUAGGCCCUACAUUUACAAAGUAUAAAUAAAUGAAGUGUAUUUUUUAUUUGAUUAUAUAACAUAUCAUGAUUAAGUGCUUGUUAUCCUGAUUAGUAGAACAGUAACAGAUGAGAGCGCAGGGAGGAAAAAUUGAAAAGUCGAAGCAUAAUUGCAAGGAGGAUCAUUGGAGGAAAAACAAAUAAACAAGACUGUUUUGAGAAAAUGAAGCGGCGACCGUUGGAGAGCCGAUCUAGGAAAGAGCAGCAAAUUGGACUAGUUCCACCUUGUUUUGCUGGCUUAGUGAUAAAUACUAAUUAUCGAUAACACAAUUUGACACCAUCAAUUCUUUAAACCUGACCUGGUAAGAUCAAGUAAUUUAUUUGGUUGAAUUUUGAGUUUAAUUUGGCUAGAUCAAAUUCAAGUUAGAUAACUAAAAAAAGUCAAGUUAGAAAACAAUAGCAGAUUGCAAGGUAUUGGACUUCUUUCUUAGUUCAAAAUUGGACCUAGUGAUUUCAUCUACACAGCAGAGUGUGUGGGUGGGUGCCUGGGUGGCUAGAUGAAAUCACUAGGCCCACAAACGACAUGCUUAAGCCUCACUAGCGUCGAGCCUACCAUUCCAUUCAUCUCAUGAACUACCUCACACUUUUUAAACUUUAGCUAACGUCAUGUCAAAAAUUUAGUAGCCUAAUCUUUCCAUCAUGAACCCCAAAAAAAUGCAAACCAUGAUAAUGUGCAAUUGUAUGCUAACAACAUAAGGAAAUGAACUUUGGCCACUCAUUUAUAAACAAGUGUUUGGAUGGGACCUACAAAUAAUAUCAUGGAAUUCUCGUCAUGUACAAACAUCUUCGUAAUAACAGAAGAAAGUAAGUAGAAAUAGGUUGAACGGUUCAUUUUUAACCACCCACUAGGUACCCCUUGCGGCUGGCAGCUGCUGCAAGGCAGCCCCGCUGAUCUUCAGCCUGGUAGGUGUGCUCGAACCUGCCGCAACCGCAAAGUAUAUAAAGAGGUUACAGAUCAGAGUCGCCCGAAAUGGCAAAAGUGAAAAAGAUCUUUGCGGUAUACAAUACUACCUUAUACUACUGUUCGAAAAGGACUCGUAUAUAAGGAUCCGAUGGUUGAGAUUAAUUGUAUACUACUAAAACCUUAAGCUAGGUAGUAUGCAUGAGAGUAUGGGUAGUACAGGGGUAGGUUAUCUUCUUUCCUUUUGCUCAUUGUCUCUUCAUUUCCAAUCGCUCGCACGCGCACUGGGCUGGUGGCGGCGACUCCGCAGCUGGAGGCAGCGAGGAAGAAGGAGGUCAGGUACGAGAAGAUCCGGACUAUCGAGAAGGGCCACCAGCGGCACUUCCACGACGACAUCACCGUCGUCAUGCUGUUCCUCGACAGGUGCAGGUCCGGACCGGAGGACAUCGAUGGCAGCGCCCGUCGACGUCUUCUCCUGCAGCCCCGCCGGCGACCACGAGGACCCGACCAGGCCCGUCCUGCGUUGAGGUUGAUCUCGGAUUCUCGGCUGGUGCUCCUCGUGCUAUCCAGAGAUUGAUGAACAUACUGUUCUUUCUUUCGGUGCUUGAUCCGAUCGCUCGCUCUCUAAACGAGAGGUACGCGUGAAUCGAGCCGUUUCCCGUUCAAGGAGAAUUUGCCUGCAAAGAAAUGCUAGUAUCGAAUCGAACAUACUGUGUGGUAAACGUACUGUAAACCUUCAUCAGUUCCUUCUUUCGUUUUAAGAGAAUGUGAAUGUUCUACUGCACUCCAACGAUCCUGCUUUCUAGUAUCUGUUCUUCCCGUUGUUCUUCAUAGCCGCCGGCGGCGAGCUCCUUCAGACGAGGGAGCAGCGAAUAAUAUAUGUCGUGCUAAUUACAAUUUUACCUAUAUUAAAAAAUAGCCUAUAAUUUAUACUACCACCACGUAGUAUUGUCGUCAAACGUCAGAAUUGGUUCGUUUCUAUUCCGAGCAAGCUGUUCCUGGACUUUCUUCUUCAGUUCACCUUUCUUGCGCCUUUGUUCCUGUCUUUCUUCCUCCUCUAUCUUUUCCCUGGUCUUAGUAUCUUUAGCAGCUAUUAUCCUUCCAUAAUCCCAGCUAAUGUAAACACUGAGCUGGACCUCGUUGAUGCUUUGGAGAAAUUCUAGCCCAGAAAAUCCAAUCUCAUUAUUUGCUGCCCCUGUGACCUGCAGCCGCUCAAGUUUGGGCAUUAUUCCUUGUUCAAACUUUACCGAUUUGAUGUCCAGCAUGUUUGCAAGCAUGAGCACCCUGAGGCUUCCGAAAGCUCUUCCAGUCUGCUGAGAUCGGAAACGAAGUUCUUCACCCUGAAACGAUUGACGAGACAAGCUUAGAAUUUCCAGCUUUGACAGUUUCCCAAGGAAUUCCAUAGCAUCAUCGUGCUCCAAUAGCCUGGUGCUCACUAGUUUCAACUUCACGAGAUGCGGGAGCUGCUUGAUCCAUUGCGGCAACGUUUCCAUAUUGCCAUAGAGCUUGAGGCUCUGCAGGUUUUCUGGAGGCGGGGAUAUAGCAUCCAAGCAGCCAUGCAAACCUGGCUUCCCUGACGAACUCACAGAUAGUGAUUCCAGCCUGCUGAGCUUGGAAAUGGCAGCGCGAAAAGCUGGGCCAUUCUUCCUGUUGAUGCCGGUGACUCCUAACUUGCGCAAUCCAGUGAGCAUUUUGAUGUCCUGUAGAACGGCAUUUCCCCUUCCGACAUUCACUUCCCGCAAUGUGUGCAACUCUUUCAGUUUUCUUGUCCCCCUUGGCACCAUAGCGCCUAUUUCUUCAUAAAACCCCAUCAUGACAGCAGGGAAUCGCACGCAGCAAGCGAAAGUGCAUGCAUCAAUGUCCCAAUGAACAGGUACGCAACAUGUUGCACAUUGACCCGCCCCCCAAAGACACCUCCUGGUUAAACUGUUCUUUUCCUCUAUUACAUAAUCUCUUUUCGGACCAGCAUAGAUGUACUGUAGCUUCCGAAGCUUGAUGAUGGUUUUGGGCAGAGCC